UGUACUGUUCCUGGACGCCUUUAUUCAAUCUUUCUCCAGGUUGUUGAGUAAGAAAAACAUUGUAGAAUCUCCCUCCUGCUUGUGGACUGACUUAAGAACGUGUAAGGCAAUAUGGAGGAGUGUUAGGAAACUAUGGAAGUGGUACCUCGAUCCCCAUCUCUUCCGUGGAUCCGAAAAAUGGCAAUUGGAAUUACAUGCCAAGGUUUCUUGUCCUCAUACUUGACAUGGAAACCUUAUCUGUCAAUGCCGCGAGCUACCGAUGAGUCAGAAAACUGCAACAUAAUUGCAUGAAAUGGUAAUGGUUUGCAAAAUAGGAACCUUAGUUUACAAUGUGAUUUAUAAAUAAUUUGUGAAUUGAGUUAUGAAUAGACACCGUCAUGGGCUCGGAAGACCGAUUAUCGAGCUUUGACUACAUUAAAAAGGUAUUUUGGUAGACGGUAGAAAACUAAGUUAAACUAUUUUGCAAAAUCAAUAAUCUCCCGUUAUGGUUAAUACCUCUUUUGUCAUCCAAAAGUUGUUUCGACUUUCAAAUUUUACUGUCCAAAUUUUACAGUAAUAUAAAUAUGUCGAGACACUCAUAAUAGUGCAAACAUAGAUGAUUGACGAUAAUGUCACAAUUACCCAAUUCAAGAGUACUCAAGAUAAAGAUGAUAACAAAGAAAUCAAAUAAAGAUUUUGGAUCAUCUUGUUUGGAAAGCCAUUAACCUUGGGUGAAGAUUGAGAAAUUAGGAAAAAGGUAAUUACGUUGAACUAAUUAAAAAUUUAAGGAGCGUCUCAUAUAUUGAACCAACUUUCGAGGUCAUUUCGGUAAUCAUCCCCUUAUAUUUAUUUCCUUCGACGCGAUAUUUACGAGGACAUCUCCAGGUUCGCCUUCUUCUCUUUUCGACGCUCUCUGCAUGCGGUUUCUAGCGAAGUAGGGCGCGUUUGGUUGUGUUUCUGUUUAAAAAUUGUUCCAAGGAACAGAAAUAGAAAAAAGUAUUUCUGUUCCGGGGAACAAUUUUUGAACAAAAAUACGCGUUUGGUAAAUUUGUUCCGGGAAUAAAAAAUAAACAGAAACAUGUUUGGUAAAUUUGGAUAAUUUUUUUAUUUCUUUUAUUUUUUCUAUUUUUUUAUUUUUUCUUUUUCAUUUUUUUUUCUUCUUUUGGCCGGUAUUGGAUCGGUGGCAGAUAGGUUGGAAAUAGUGGUUUUGAGCUUUAACUUGGUAGACCGAACUAAGCCAAUGAAGCGAGCAAAUUGGCCUAAGCUUGUUUUUUUUUUAAUGAUCAGAAAUUGAAAUUUGAAAUUUUUUGAGAUAUGAUGGAAUUUUUUUUGGAUAGGGCAAGUGUAAACAAAUAUUGCGUUUGCAAAUAAAAAAGAUCUUCGUGGAUAUCGAUUUGGAAAAAUUAAAACCCUAAUUCGUGGCCUAUAAAUAGGUCAAAACGCAUAGGGUUCGUGGGGGGCUUUUUGUUUUCUUCGAAGACAAAGGAAGAAUCAACACAAAAAGAGAGAAAAAAGAUUCUAAUGUUUGAUCGAAGAAGAGAAAGACAGAGAAGGGAAAAACUUGAGGAAAAGUCAAAAAGAAAAGGAAGAAGGAGGGGGAAACGUAAAAGUAGAAAAGAUAGAGGGAGGUGAUUGGACAUUUACUGUUCAUUGUCUCCCCCACCUUUGCGAGAAAAUAUUAGCUGCAGCUCUGACUCAAGUGUGUACUCGUCAUAGUCUACUCAUCGGGUGACACGUGUCGUCUCGACGCCNNNNNNNNNNNNNNNNNNNNNNNNNNNNNNNNNNNNNNNNNNNNNNNNNNNNNNNNNNNNNNNNNNNNNNNNNNNNNNNNNNNNNNNNNNNNNNNNNNNNNNNNNNNNNNNNNNNNNNNNNNNNNNNNNNNNNNNNNNNNNNNNNNNNNNNNNNNNNNNNNNNNNNNNNNNNNNNNNNNNNNNNNNNNNNNNNNNNNNNNNNNNNNNNNNNNNNNNNNNNNNNNNNNNNNNNNNNNNNNNNNNNNNNNNNNNNNNNNNNNNNNNNNNNNNNNNNNNNNNNNNNNNNNNNNNNNNNNNNNNNNNNNNNNNNNNNNNNNNNNNNNNNNNNNNNNNNNNNNNNNNNNNNNNNNNNNNNNNNNNNNNNNNNNNNNNNNNNNNNNNNNNNNNNNNNNNNNNNNNNNNNNNNNNNNNNNNNNNNNNNNNNNNNNNNNNNNNNNNNNNNNNNNNNNNNNNNNNNNNNNNNNNNNNNNNNNNNNNNNNNNNNNNNNNNNNNNNNNNNNNNNNNNNNNNNNNNNNNNNNNNNNNNNNNNNNNNNNNNNNNNNNNNNNNNNNNNNNNNNNNNNNNNNNNNNNNNNNNNNNNNNNNNNNNNNNNNNNNNNNNNNNNNNNNNNNNNNNNNNNNNNNNNNNNNNNNNNNNNNNNNNNNNNNNNNNNNNNNNNNNNNNNNNNNNNNNNNNNNNNNNNNNNNNNNNNNNNNNNNNNNNNNNNNNNNNNNNNNNNNNNNNNNNNNNNNNNNNNNNNNNNNNNNNNNNNNNNNNNNNNNNNNNNNNNNNNNNNNNNNNNNNNNNNNNNNNNNNNNNNNNNNNNNNNNNNNNNNNNNNNNNNNNNNNNNNNNNNNAUUCCCAUUUGCGAAGCAAUAAAGUUGGGAACUCAUACGAGACUUAAUGCUCAACUCGCGGACUGAAGAUGAUUGGAAAGAACUCACAUUAAAACUUGACAUUAAAACCGAUGAAAGAGAUUAAAUAAAAAGGACAGCUAACUCGAACCUUAUUCGACAAUUUCAAGUUCUCACUUUCAAGUGUCCAUCUCUUCGGCAUCCCCAUCGUAAUUGUUCUAAGUCAAGCAUCAUCGAACGAGACAGUCAAUCAAAACGAGCUGUAGAAAGGACCCUUUUGGGUGCCACUGGCUUAGCCAUUGUUCAUUUUCUAUGUUGGCAUGCACGCAUGAGGCACGCGCUUGUUUUAUUAAACUCCAAUUUGUUUCUGUCUUGUACUAAUUGAGAUGUUGAAAUAUCAUUGCCUGUCUGGCUUAAAAGUAUGCCAUUCUAGAUAUCGGGCAACUUUGUGAAGGGCAAUGCAUGUUCUAAUUUCACGGUGUUGAUUUUGCCCUGUUGGCUAAGCUUGAGGGGUAUAAAAAGGUACUAUUUACAGAGUAGUUUCUGCCGUUUGCACAAUGCAUGAAAGGACACGCAUUGCCUUUCACACAGUUGCCUGAUAUCCAGUAAUGGCAUACUUUUUCUUGGGGCUUUUGAGGGUUUUUAUCUGUUGACGAAUCAGCUCUCUCUCUAGAAAUUGAACUCGCUGAAUUCACCUGACUAGAUGCAGGGAUCUUGGGUGUUUGUCGGCAUGCCUAAUGCUGUUAAGGUGAGUGGUUGCCUGAGUCUCCUUUGUCCUUUGUUAUAAUUUUCUUUGGCGAAUAUUGAAUUAGUGAGCUAGCUUUAAUUUAUUGCAUUCUCUUGUAUCUCUUGUAGGUAUGGAUUGUAGGUAUGGAAUAUCUAGAAUGGUGCAAGCUAUGAUGUCAGUGGACCAGUUGGACAGGGCCAUCCCUGGAAGUUGCUAAUAACAUGCUUUUUGGUGGAGCCCAGGUAAUUUGUUAUUAGAAAGAAGUUAAUGUCAAUUUAGUUGAUCUAUCUGCUGAAAUUUUUUCUAGUCUAUUUCUUUAGAAUCUCGCUCUAAGUCAUAUAAAAGAUGAUGCUGAGUGUGAGGUUGGAUUUUUGGUUUAGACCUGAAAUUCUUUUUUUCUUCUUCUUUACGUCUGGCCCACCAUCAAUUAAAUUGAAUUAAUAUCACAAAAAAUCACAAAAAUUAUACAAUUAUGAAAUAUGGAGUAAAAUCUCAAAUCGAUACAUCAUUUAACUGUCACAUAUAAUCAAAUUUAGUAAUUUGAUAAUAUGGUAACUUUAUCAUAAAUAUAUUAAUUUGGGAUCAAUAUAUUAAAGGUGAAUCAAUUUAAAUUUUUUGAUAGUAAAAAAAGUAGCUUUGAUUAAAUUUAUUAUAAGUGUAUAACAUUCGGAUUUUUUUAGAAUAUUAAUUUUAUUUAUUUUGGUUCUGGAAGGGCACAAUUGUCUUUUCAACGGAUUCUCUCUUCAAUGCAUUGUCUUUUCAGCCACUUGAUUUUUCUUGAUCUUAUCAUUAGGUGGGACAGAAGGACAUGCAAAGUGGACGAAUAGAAACAGAACGAAAUCUUAUAUCAGGUACUUUAAUAAAAGGUUUGUCUAGUUCGAGGGGAGACAAUUUGAAUUAUUGUGAAUUAAGAAAACUCAACUCGCCAAAAAUAAGAAAAUCUACAUUUAAGUUUGGAUUGUGCUAGAUUAAAGUAAAUCCUAAUUUUGAACGUUGGAGAUUCUAAUUAAUUUUAAUAUUGUGAUUGUGUGUCUCGAUCGAUGUUUAGACUAUUGUAACGUACAAGGAUUUGUCAUGCAAAUAUUAAGGAAGAAGUUGGAACCGUUUUUUUAUCAUAUAAAAGAGAAGCGAAUAUGGUUGGAAAGGGCAAUGAGGUACUCGACGUGCAUGUGCUUGCAUGGUAUCUUGACGUAUUACAUUGAUUAUGAGAUUACUCUUUUUAUUAUUUUGGGUAACAUAAGAUUUCUAUGUUUUCAAAUUCACGAAUUUUUGAAAAAAGGAAACUUACCUUGUUAGAUUGAUUCCUCAUAAAAGCGUGAGCUCGAUAUAAAUAAAUUAAGCAAAUUAUAAGAUAGUCUCUUUAUCAUUAAACGGAAAAGACUUCAUGCUUAGAUCAUCCAUACAAAAAUUGAAAUUGCAUUUUACCUAAUUUGUGAAGUUAACAUGGUACUAUGUAGACACUGCCUUUUCAGGCUUUCUUGUUUAGAAAAGGACACGAGUCCGCGCCGACUUUGGCUGGUAAAGAAUUUGGUUCGCGAGGUGUCCAGAUUCAUUGUGCACGCCUCUCUUUCUUCUUGCUUGUUCCACGCCCAUAACACUAUAAAGUCUAUAACAAUCCUGAUAGCAUCAAGGAUAAUCCUACAUCAUGAGAUUUGUUCAUUGAUUGGUUUUAACUUGCUAUUCUCUCACCCUUCAUCAACUGGUAACAGAAAUAUCAUCUUCGCAGACUUUAACAAGUAAUCUGCCAAGUAAACCUCAUCUCAAUUCCGAGGAAAUCUUCGAGGACAUAUAAAAUAUUUGAUUUCAGAAAAAUGAGCAUCAACUUUGGUUUGGCUUUAUAUGCUCCAUUGCAAGAAUAGAAAAGGAAAAUUAUACUUUUCAUCAUUUAUUUUUGCCGAUUCUCUAAUUAAGGGUGCGUUUGGUUCAGUAUUUUGAAAGCCCAUUGGGAAAAUGUAAAGUAGUUUAGCGUAAAGGACUUUAGGCAAAUGCAAAGACCGUUUGGUAAACUAUACUUUGAGAAGCAACUUUGAAAGAAAUGCCCUUUGGUAGAAAACACAUUUGAAAAGCUCUUUGGAUAAUUAAUAUUUUUUUUUUAAAUUUUAUUUGUUUAAAAUUGAAAAAAAAUAAUGUAUGCAAGUUUUUAAAUAUAAAUUUUGACAAUAAUACUAAAAAAAAUCGAAUACAUACAUAAUUUUUUUGGAAAAGGAAAAUUAUACUUUUCAUCAUUUACUUUUGCCGAUUCUCUAAUUAAGGGUGCGUUUGGUUCAGCAUUUUGAAAGCCCAUUGGGAAAAUGUAAAGCAGUUUAGUCUAAAGGACUUUAGGCAAAUGCAAAGACCGUUUGGUAAAACUAUAUUUUGAGAAGCAAUUUUGAAAUAAAUGCCCUUUGGUAGAAAACACAUUUGAAAAGCUCUUUGGGUGAUUAAUAUUAGUUUUUUUUUAAAGUUUUUAUUUGCUUAAAAUUGAAAAAAAAUGAUGUAUGCAACUUUUUAAAUAUAGAUUUUGACAAUAAUGCUAAAAAAAUCAAAUAUAUAAAUAAUUAAAAAAACCAAAAUAUAUUUAAUUUUUUUAGCAUUUAUAUAUAUUUGACUUUUUUAGCAUUAUUUUGGCAUUUAAAACAAUAAUAACGAGAACAAAAUCAGAAAUUUGAAGAAUGAGUGAAGAUAGUUUUGUAAAAAAAAAAAAGUUUCAGUAUUUGGCCGAAUGCUGAAAGCCCAAUGCUAGUCCCUACUAGCAUUGGGCUUUCAGCAUUCCCAAUACUAAUUUUCACUUGAAAGCUACUUCACAGUCUAACAUUUCCUCAAUGGGCUUUAGAGGCUAAAAGCUUCUUGGGAAUGCUGAACCAAACGCACUCUAAGUCCCUAUAGUUUCGACUUGUCUAAUCAAGUCUUCUAUGGAUUGAGAAGUCAAUUAGGUUUGACCCAAAUUUGGGUUAGGCUUUUGGCACGACAGUCCCUUAGCCCUUGUCUUUUUGUCACGCCCUGAACCCUGAGUGCGUGUCCAUCGCUCUUUGGUCGAUAAAAUUUGUGACUUCCCAGGACGAGUCGCCGACCCAUUCAUUUUUAAGCACAUGCGGAAGCGAAAAUAAAUCCCCUGACAGUAAUCAUCUCGGGAUAGAAAAGCAGGACAUCAAUUCACAAAAGCAUACUUUUAUGAACAACGAGAUUCAAGUACAAAACGAGUUUAGUCGAAAGCCUACAAGAAGGUCGACUCUCAAAAGAGGUUGUCUUAUGACAUACUGACAGGACACAUCCGCCGAUCCUCCAUACUCCUCCUCCUCAGACUUCGGGGCCUUGGCCCUCCACGACCACAUUCUAAAGACCUAAAAAUGGUUAUUCAAUAACCAAUGAGACAAUGUCUCAGCAAAUCCACGCUCUAAACCCCGAUUAAGAGGGUAAUACGCCUAGAGGCGUCCUAACCACACAAUUACGCAUUUGGUAUAGAGGGCUUAUCUCGCUUCAGAUCCACCCUGCAGGUUAGUACAGUUUAUAUCACAGAUAACCAUAUCGAUAUGAGCAAUAAUUAAGCUCCAACAACUGGAACGCCACACUCAAUUCUCAAACUAGCAUAUGAGUCCUGAUUAUAGGGCCAAAUCGUUAUGACACGUCCCAUUCAAAGUCACACAAUUUUGUCCCAUAAUCCGGUGCAGAUAUUUCACUCAACACGCGUUUCAAUUGAUAAUUACGCCUGCUCUAGGGCAUGGCCUACUUGAAGUUCGGCGGUCUACUAGCGUAGCCAGGCAUCGUCUCACCCUAUUGAGCAUGGUUACGUCUCUCAAAGACGACUUUCCCAAAGGAGUAUAGGUCCAGCCUUUACUGCGACCCAAAUCCCAAUAAAUGAGUAUCCCAUAAAGGGUAACAUUCAUCCGACACAGUUCGGGGACGGGUUCUCUUAACCAACACACGACCAAUCAAUCUCGGCCCAGAACACCGUGCAUUGCACUCAAAUGCCUCAAUUAAAAUAGUGUUCCUGGCCUAUUUUCUUUGUAUUAAAAACUUCCGAUGAAAAAUAGUCAUGUGUGGGUACACGGUCAAAUUGGACCCGGAAAAUUCAUAACAUUCUUUUCAACAUCUCACUGGUUUAUAUAGUAUAUAAAACCAUUUUCGGUGUUUAAAACCCGACACCUGGAAUUUUCUGAAUAAAUAUCAAAAUUUACAAUUUUUGGAAUAAUUGACCAAAUUUUCAAUUAGCACUCAAAUUUUCACAAUUUAACACUCGAUUGUAGAAAUUAACUACAUCAUUACAAUCACCACGAAAUUUCGGUCACUGGCUACCCCUGCCUAAUUUUCGGAAAAUAUUUAAUAAUUAAACUAAUUACACUUAAAUAAAUCUAAACACCCCUUAAACGUUUAGUGCAUAAACUCACCGAUUUAGAGCAAAAACCAGUUCACGGUGACAACGAUGUGACGGUGACUGAAACUCGUGCCUACAGCGGUGCGGGAGGUUGGUGGCGGGUGGUGCGGCUGCUGUGGGCACGGUCGAGACGGCUGAAUCGGCACAGCAGUGGACGGUGGCUACGUGCGCGGCAAGGAAGAACGAUCCCCCUCUUCCUCUCUCUCUCGCGCUGGUUUUCUCUCUCUCUCUCGCUCGCGGUUUCGUUCUCGAGUCUUGUGUCUUCUCACGUCCAUGGCCGGUUUUGUUCCUCUUUUGAUUGACUAGUUUAGUCAACACAUGUAGGUGCGGUGGCGGCAAGAGGCGGAGCCGGGUGGAGAAGACGUGGGCCUUCAUCCGGGUCUUCUCUUGCCAGCGCAAGAGGAGCUGCUGCGUGGCUUCCGCUUGGUCGAGAUCCUCGGCUUCGCUGUCCAGCUGAAGAGAAGCCGACCUUCUGUUAGUUGACUUCAUGAGUCAACAAAGAGGAUCCCGGUGGCAGCAGGAGGCAGAGACGGGUGGGGAAGACGUGGACUUCCACCGAGAAUUCUGGCCAGCACUUCCCUUUCCUCAUGCACGGACGGAUUUUCCUACAUUGGUCAAUUAAGCAAGGUCUCGGUGGCCGUCGUUGAAGGGGACAACUCAAUGGAAUGCGCGUCUUCAUUUGCUGGUCGACGGUGAAGGAGCAACGUGGCUGCCAUUUGGUUCUUCUCGGUCAACAUUCCCUCUUUUGUUGACCAUCAAAGGAGCGUGACAUCAUCACGGGCAGUCCUUGAAUGCGUGGACAUAGCUGCAUGAAUUCUUCACGAGCAUGCAUGGGCGAGGGCUUCACUUAGUUGACUACUUGAGUCAACUAAGUGGUGUCGCGUUGGCAGCAAAUGGAGAGAACAACACCGGCGUGCACGUCUUCAUUUCUGCAUGAAGAAAGGGCCGCGGACGUACGCAUGGCCAUUGCAUGCUACGGGUCUUCAGCUCGGUUGAUUUGCGAGGCUGCUUGGGGUUAACAGUUUCCUUUGUAGUUGGCAACAUUGGACGUGUGCAUGAAGACGUCGGGUGCUUGCAUGAAAGGUUUGCUUUAGGAAGGUACAAAUGUGGAAGGGGCUGGUCUCGCGAGUUACGUAAGAAGAUUUUUUACGAGACGAUAAGCUAUACGAAAAUCGGAUCGUCUCGACGCGGCAAAGACGUGAUUACGAGGGUACGUUAUAAGACCAUCACGAAACGUGAUGUCUUGGUCUGGUGAUGGAAAUGAUGAAACGGCGGCCGAAAGUGGCGCCAACGACGCAGUCCGACAACAAAUUCGUCGACCUAUCACGAACCGUUACGUACUCGAGGUCCGGCGAAAAUUCGGAUGUCACACUUUUUUUAUUUAUUAGCUAGCCCCUAAACCCAUGGCAACUCCAAAACAGAAGUAACUUCUCCAAGCACACGACACAGAUGAAACACAUAUUCAGUAUUCAUGGUAUGUCCUAAUAUUAGGAGGUUGUACAGUGCCAUGAGAUGAUCAAUGAGAGCGACGUCUCCCACUAGGUUCGUAAGAAGCGGUAUACCAUUAUCAUUUCUAUAUCCAAGCUGAUGUGAGAAAUCAAAUCCCCAAGCCCAGUAAGUUUCAACAAUCAGACAAACUGAUUAAGGUACUCAUCCACGGUGGUGUAUUUGACGUCGGGGUACAGCUCUGAAGCUUCCACUCCAAACGACGGCUCAAUCUUGAAGUUAGUUUGGUCUCCUUUCACGAAAAUAGAAUGGGAUAUGGCCCACCUUAGAUCGUCUGGAGAUUUCGCAUCUGCAAUAUAAGCGGACAAAUAGACCAAUCGAUGUCAAGUAGAGGAUAGAGACAAUUUCCACGUGCUUAAAUCUAAUAGUAACGCAUCUGUGACCUCGAAUUUGCUUCAGAAGUUGCUCCUCUGGAAUAUAAACCCUCUCCAGGGUCUUGCCAAUCUUUCUCUCCCACAAAGACACGAGAUCAUUCAUCGAGUAGGUGUUGGCAGGAGGUUUGAUGUACAGAAUUUUGUUCAAGGUCCUUGGAUCAUCCAUGGCUUUGAUGGUAUAGGUGCCAAUGUCAUCCUCCCUGUUAAACACCACUGUAUAUUGACAGAGAGAAUUUUAGUAUUUGGCUAAUUAAUACAUCACAAAAACUUCGAUUUUCCUAGAGUUACUUUCGGCUCACAUUUAAAGAACUCUCUUGAAAUAAAGAUUCAUCAGAGAUGAAUGCAUCCAUAUGUUAUUUUCUCAACUAGAUACAUAAAGAUAACCUUCUUAAUAUGCUAACCAGGAGGUAUUGUGCCAAGAUAACCAACAUCACUUUCAUAUCAUUUAUUAGUCUCCAGAAGUCAAGACUAAUGGAUGUAAAAAGCUCGACAUCUCUAGAUAGGGAGUUGCCUCAAAAUUCUCAAGCUUGAGGAACUGCUCUCAAUCUCAACACUCCCGUAAUUAAAUCAUAAAAAUUGUAUAGCAAAAUCCUGAGCAGUCAGGAUACGUAUUUCAACAAAUUGCUUCUUACCUUUUGCAUUACCAUCCCCUAAGAUGACAACUUUAUCUCUAGAGGGAGCUGUAGCCCCAGGCUGUGCCAAUGUCGAACGGUGCCAACCUGCUAGAAAGUUACAAGACACAUAGGUAUACGGGAUUCCCUGUUCUUCAAGAAGGUGGAGAAUAUCGGUAUAGUAAGCAGCAUAAAAAGUUCUUGCUGGCUCCACAGCAUGGGCACGAUCCACAUGACUUCCAAACACUGAAGGCAAGAAUCUCUAAAAAGAAAAAUAACCAAAUCAAAAGAAACAUUUCUAUUGGAAAGCAACGAAAAUUUAGAGCACAUUCCCCUUAUCCAACAAAAUUAUACGAGUUCUGGCAAAAUAAAACAAAACAAACUUAUAUGAGAAUGAAGUACUUUUUUUUUUUUUUGGGUCAAUAUGUUGCUAUAACAAAGUAAAACAUGACCAUAAGUGAGAAAACAGAUCCAGCGAUUAAGCAAAUUCUACCCCAAGUGCUAUUAGAAAAAUAGAAGAAAUAGAAAGUGAAAAUUCCAAUGUAAGGCAACAGCCAGAUAACUCUGUCGAGUAUAAAAUAUGCAAAUAUGCUGCUUGCGUGGAUGGCACUUUCACAAGUGAUAAGAUAUCAGGUAAGUGUAUUGCCUUUUGGGAGCAUGCUGAGUUCCACUCAUCGGUGACCGUUUACCACCCGAAGCAACAACAAUUACUACUAAGUACUAUCCCAGUAAGUAGGGCUGGGGAACAUAUAUGCAAAAAUAAUACUCCUGAAAAAGACCAUUUCAAGGUUAAACUAGUUCAUGUUCCCUGCGAAUUCAUGAUCGAACAGCUCGGAUACACGUCCAUAGUCCAUAUUGAGUGCACGAAACAUGUGUUUUUUUCGCCGACCUACAGGAAACCCAAACACAGGUUCUGGAUAAAUAUACAUAUGAAGCCUCCUGGAGUACGUGGGUAGCGCAAUAUGAACACUGGGCUACACUUGGAUGUGAAAUAGUUAUUCUCAAAUUUCAUCGAAGACUUCUACACAAAGUCAUGACCAAAAGAUGUGAAGUCUACAGAUAUGUAAGUCAAUGCAUCCUAUUUCAUCAAAACGAAGCUCGCAAGGAGAAGGUGAUCCACUUAUACCGGAAGGAAAGAAUUAAGCUAACACAACCUGUAUCAUCAGUCAAAUGCUAAACAAACAAUGAUUACGAGGACAAAAUCAUUCGAAACAGCGCCACCUUUAUAUUUCCGACCAUCGUAAUGGCAGCAACAAUCUUGUAUUGGUCCUCUGUUGAUGUCUCAACGGUAGAUACCACCACAUCGACCUUCCUGAUCGCAGUCAACAUAGUAUCCGGAUCGUCUAUAUCUCCCUGAGAAUCAAAGGACCAAGAGCAUGAACCAACAAUCGAUGAAGUCAGCAAUCAUCAACAAAUCCUGGUUUGGCAGUGGGAUUCAUAACCGAUGAAGAUAAGACUUCGAUACCUUUAUCAGACAAGAAAAAAAUACGACGACAAAUAAAAAAAAAAAAACAAGCCACUAUCCACAGAAUUCUCGUCCAUGGCAUCUGAACAACAGGUCAGAGCAGCUACUACGUAGCUAUAGCUGUCUCAUAAACAGCUAAGACAUAAGGAAGUUUCUGUAAGAUUUGCCUGAAAAUGCGCUCGUUCGAAUCGACAUGGAAAGCUGAGAUGAUUCGUCACAAAAAAUUUCACCUUUUUCACGAACAAAGACAAAAUAUCAGAACAGUAAUGAACAACGCCAAAUCGCAACGUGACUCCUAUCAACUCGAUCGAGUGAGAGAUCGAGACGAAAAUCAGCUCCGAUUCUACUGCUGAAGACAUUUCUCAGGACGACGAGCAAGAUUCAACGGCAGGCGAGGCUUUGAUUCCUCGAAGCAGGACCAGAUGUCGGGUACGAACGCGAUCGCAAGGGCAUAGCUUCUCACCUGAACCACACGGACGCCUAAGCUCUUGAAACCUUCGACGAGGUCGGCCUCGGCAGGGUCGGACGGAGUGGACGGCGGUGCCAGGAGAGCGAAGGUAGGGUGACCGGACUUAGCACUCGCUUCCACGACGAACUUUCCGAUGAGUCUGGUCACUCCGAUCACCAGGACUUUGCUCUUCUCCGCCAUCUCGGAGUGGCUUUUCACGGCGGAGUCGGUGGAUUUUCUCCGGCGAGCUCGCUCGGUCUCCUGAGCGACUCUGCUUCCAGCUGCUUGUAAGAAAGGGAGAGAGCGCGCUAAAAUGAGGAGGUCCUUCGCGUGGAAGCCCAUUUAUAUUUUGAUUCCAGAAGGGCAUAAGCGUCUUUUCCGUGAAGUUGUCUUUCCAGCGAAUUGACUUCCCUCGAUCUGAUCCUUCACGGGAAAAUAGUGCGCUGUUACAUUUAUCUUAAAUUAAUUAGUUUGAUCUAUAUAAAAUUCUCAAACGGAUUUAUUAGUGCUAUAUUUACCACAAAUUAAUUUUUAAUAUCUUAAAUUAGGAAAAAAUUGUGAUAGAGGUGACUUGAGUGUAACAAUGUAGGAUUUUUUGCAAUCUAAAAUUAAUUUUCGGUACAUACGACACGCAUGUAAAUGUUAAGAGUUUUUUGUAUUGCUAGUCUUGAAAAAAGGAAGAAAAUCAUAUUUAAAUUACUUUAAUCACGAUAUUAUCUAGCUUGAGAGAUGAUUUAUAUUGUCGGGAUUAUUGAUGCGACAUCCUAGGCAUGAGCAUGUGGAAGCGUGUCCAUCAAUGAUCUCUAAGACAACACAAUAAACAACAGCCAGUAAAAGACAUCACAAACGUACUACUUUUAUAUUACAUUAAUAUAUUACAAGCCCUUUCUCUAUAGAACAUAUCUUUUUCCACCAUGCUAUAUCUAUUUGCAUAAGCUUGAGGUAUCCCUAUCUCCUCUAUGGAAGUUGAAGCUCCAAAAUUGGUAUCCAUACCUUCAAGUCUGAAAGAUAAAAGAGUGAGUCAAUGACUCAACAAGUGACGUCACUAAUCCUCAUAUAAGAGGACAGCUUGUCAUCGAAUCUAGCAUGCAAAUAUUACUUGCACUACAACAUCGAUGGCAAAUCAAUAACAAUUCCUUUGCUAUACCUUAAUUAUAUGCAUGUGAUCAAUUUUGGCUUAUCAUCAAUGCAUGAGCAUGUGGAAGCGUGUCCAUUAAAGAUCUCUAAGACGACACAACAAACAACAGCCAGGAAAAGACACCACAAACGUACUACUUUUAUAUUACAUUAAUAUAUUACAAGCCUUUCUCUACAGAACAUAUCUUUUUCCACCAUGCUAUAUCUAUCUGCAUAAGCUUGAGGUAUCCCUAUCUCCUCUAUGGAAGUCGAAGCUCCAAAAUUGGUAUCCAUACCUACAAGUCUGAAAGAUAAAAGAGUGAGUCAAUGACUCAACAAGUGAAGUCACUAAUCCUCAUAUAAGAGGACAACUUGUCAUCGAAUCUAGCAUGCAAACAUUACUUGCACUACAACAUCAAUGGCAAAUCAAUAACAAUUCCUUUGCUAUACCUUAAUUAUAUGCAUGCGAUCAAUUUUGGCUUAUCAUCAAUGUAUGAUCUACCUCAAACUUAUCAAACAACACACAACAACAUGCACAAAGGUUCAUUAACUGUCUCAAACGAUUCUUCCCAUACUUUCAAGGGAUUCCAACAUCAAGCGAGGCAUUUGACCAUCAAGCUAAGCAUCUCAUAUUUUCAAGGACUUCUUGACUCAAUCAAGGUAUCCUGUUCUCGUGAAUGAGGCAUCCUCUUGGCAUAGAGGCUUAUCGUUCUCAUUAAAGAGACAUCUUGUUGGCGUGGGGACAUCUCAUUCUCAUGAAUGAGGUAUUGUCACCAUCUCAACGGGCGACAACAUCCCAUUGGCGUGGCGUCAUCGUCGUUACCUCAAGUGGCAACAGUUCAUAUAUUUCAUUAGGUGAUCACAUGUUCUACAUUGCACAAAUCGAUUUAUUAUCUUUAAUUUUAGCUAGUGCAAACAAGGUCCGAAAGCGUGCUCAUACAAGUGCGUGCGUGCGUCAUGACCUAUAACAUUGUUACUUUACUACUAUGCUGAGCAUGACAUGUGACUUGUGGCUCGAAUUGACAUGCUCAAGCGCCGACCCAAAGCCAAGCGAGGCUCAAAUUGACAUGCCUCAAUGCCGAUCUAAGGCCAAGCAAGGUUUAGUCCGUCACGCCUCAACAUCGAUUCCAAAACUGAGUAAGACUCAUCCGUGACUCGUGGCGUGAUUGUACUUAUGAAUGCAAGACAUGAGCAAACCAUACAAAAUCAAUCCUCAUCAUGCACACGACCACACACGGGUGAGCACAUAACUAAAUCCAACAACGUAACGCAUCGCUCUAAUUAAGGGUUAGAAAUUCUACUUAUAACUACAAGGACAUGAGCAAACCAUACAAACAACCAUCAACAUGCACACAACUAAGCACAGAUGAGAACACAGCCAAGCCCAACAACGCAGCACAUUGCCCUAGCUGAAGGUUAGAGAUUUCACUUACGACUUGUCCAGGUGGUGGCCAAUGGCCAAGCGAUGGCAAAUUGAUGAGGGUUGAAUGGCGAGAGAGGGAAUGGUCGAGAGAGAGGGGGGAGGGACGUGCAAGAGAGGAGAGGUGGAAGAAAUGAGCCAAGGUGGGGAAAUGAAGGGUUGGUGCUUUUAUUUAUAGGCAAAACCUCAAUGAUUGCCUUUUCCAAAUGAUCUAAUAACUUCUUUAGGUGGCAAGGCUAAUUAGGAGAGAUGGCACCCCAAUAGCCUAGAGAAAUGAUUAAAGUCCUAAAAGUGUCUCUUAUUGGUCACUUAGCCAUAAGUCAUCGCCUUAAUGAAGAAAUUAUCUUGAAGAGGUGGCACGCCUACCUUGAUGAAAUGGCGUCCUAAGGCCCUAGAAGAGCACUUGCCAUUCUUCUCAUUAGGCCACCUAUGUCAUGAGUCAUCUUUCAAUAAUAACUUGGCUAAACUUGCUCUCCAAGACGAUAUCUUAAUGUAAUGAUAACCUCAUUUCUAUAAGGACACCCAAGCUUAUGACUCAUUCUCUUCAUUAAUUGCUUAGAUUUGGUGUCAUCAUAAGGCUUGGAUUUUUGUCGCAUGUUAGACUAUUUGUUCUCCAAGUUGAACUCAUUUCUCGCCACUUGGACAUGUGAGUCAUCCCUUUUAUUCAGUUACUAACUUCCAAAAAACAUAAUUAGAUUACUUGUUCUUCAAGUUAAACCCCUAUCUUGCCACUUGAAUGACAACUCAUUCUUAUAUGAGUUACCUAAGAUUUAGUUAUAAUCGGCUUUGGAUUUAGUCACAUGUUUCUUGUUUCUCAAGUAACUUGCUACUUAAGUUGUCAUAUGUAAUCAUGACCAAAUCCUCUUCCUUGCCACCCAAGUUCCUUACCACUUAAGUUGAUGAGUCAUUCUCUUCAUUUAUGGACUAACUUCCAAAGAACAUUUUGUAAACAUGAGAAGGAAGCUGAUGGAAGUGCCAAGAUUAUUGUGUGAGAGCUUUUCAUGUUCAUCCACAAUCAAUUGCACCAUUCGAGUUGAGGUUUGUGGCUAAUUCACAACUGGUCGAGGCGGGAUGUAGCCAAGCCUGACCGUUGUGGCUAGUUCAAUGGCCUAUCCUGGCUAGCGCAUGGCCAGAGUUGGCCGGACAUAGGGCCAAGCUAAUCGGGCUUAAGGCCAGCUCAUGGCCUAGCAUAAGGCCUGGCUUAUGGCCUGGCACAUGACCGGGUGGCAAGGUCGCUAAGCUGAUCCAUGACCGAUCCUUGACUAGUCCGUGAUCCAUCGCAAGUGAUCCUUGGAGUGGUCCUUGGGGCACACUGAUUUAUAGCCAUUUCUCAUGGGCUAAAACUGUAGACAUUACAACUUAACUUGCCAAAAAUAUGAAAAUCUAAAUUAAAGUUUGGAUGGUGUUUGAAAUUUAAGUAAUCUUAAUUUUGAAGUGUUAAAAAUAUUAUUUAAUUUAAACUGUAGCUUGCUUUUUUAAUUGAUAUUAUACUAUUAUAAUUUACCAUAAUAUCCAUUGUAAUUGAUAACAAAGAAGUUGAGACUGCCUUUUAGGUGUACUUUAUCAUAUGAAAUAAUAAGAAAAAAUGGUAUGAGAGGGCAAUGAGCUGCUUGACAUGCAUUUACAUACAUACAUACAUACAUACAUAUAUAUAUCAUGGAGUUCCAUAAUCCAUAUAUGAUUGUUUUCAGGUGCAAAUUCUUUUUUCCAGUAGAGUCAAUCACAUAAAUUAAUUUUGUAACUUUUUGGCCAACAAAAGAUUAUCUUAUAAAUAAUUCAAAACUUCUUGAAGAAAGGAGAGGUAAAUUAUUAGAUUGGUUCAUUGAUUGAAUAGGGAGCACGAUGUAGACAUAUAUAAAUGAUAAUCUCUUUAUCAUUAAAUGCGAAAGAUUUAAUGUUUAGAUCACCUUUUCGAAAUUGAAAUGGCUUAUCUUUUGAGUGUUUGUUUAGCCAAAAAGGGUUUCGUACAAUUUGUUUUUGAUAUUUUUACCUGCUUAGUUACCAAAAAUGGAUUGAUUAUCGAAAAAUCAUUUACAAUGAAGGAAAACAUCCAUGCUCAAAAACAAGGAAACUUUUCUCUAUUCUCAAAGAGAGGAAAUCAUUUUAAAGUUAAUGACCAAAUGAGAACUAAAAAUGAUUUCUGCAUAAAACGUCUCUAAAUGGGUUUACCUAUGAUAAAUUUACCUAAAACUAAUUUUUCAACCAUCAAAAACUCAAAAUUGAUACAUACGUGACAAAUUUAUCUUAAACUAAUUUUUUGACCACCAAAAACCUUAAUCUAGUACAUUUAUGAUAAAUUUAUCCCCUAUGAAUUUUCGUUAAAUUAAAUCAAUGCCAUGAAAAAAACACAAAUUGAUAACAGAAAGUAAAACUCCAAAACUAGUAUAUCUGUCAACUAUUUAUGCCAUCUAACUUAGCAAUUUGAUAGUAAAAUUUAAUAAAAACUAACGGAUGGUAAAUUUAUCAUAAAUACACUAGUUUGGAAAUUUUAGUAUUAUUAAUUCUAUCAAAAAACCUACGGUAAACAAUGAGGAAAUUUUUCUCUACCCUUAAGAGAGGGAAUCAUUUUCAAGUUAAUGACCAAACGAUAGCUAAAAAUGAUUUCAGUACAAAACAUCUUUCUUAGACAUGUCGAAGUUUUCACUAAACAAAGCAAGUCUUCGUUUGCAGAGUCAACACGACAUUGCACCGCACUGCGGUUUCUCGAAAAGAGAAGGACCCAAGAGUCCACGCUGGCGGCGGCGGCAUGCAGAGUACGGAAGGAUUCAUUUAGUCAAGAACGAUAUCCACGAAUGAUCGGGCGUGGAGACAGGAUUCUAGUUCGAGAUUUGUUCCAGCUUCAUCAAGCAUUUGCCCUUUUCUUUUCUUUUCUUUUCUUUGUAUUGCCUUGUUCGCCGCCCAUGAGAGUCCUUAAACUUGUUAAUCUUUUAAGUUUAUCCAUAAUCAACUCGCAACAGUAGAUUUCUUCGGCUAAGGAAACCCAAAGUUUCAAUUACCUUGAGAUUUUCGUGGACAUAUAAAAAGUAUUUGCUUUCAUCACAAUAAUUGCCUACGGACCAUUUAGGCAUGGAAAACUAUUCGAUUUUGUUUAUUUCGAAAAAAAAUGAAUAAUUUUAGAAAUAUUUUUCUAAAAAAUAAUUGCUUGUAUAAUUUAAAAUAAUCGGUCGAUGAAAAAUAUUUUUAUUAUCAAUAAUAAAUUAUAUUUUUUUUGGGUAAGAUAUAUUUAAUUUUUUUUGUGAAUGAUAAAAAUAUUUUUCAUCCAUUUAUUUUAUAAGUGAAACAAGCGAUCAUUUUUAGAAUUUUUUUUUCCAAAUAAUUUAAUUUUCGCGAAACAAACGGAGCUUAAAGCAUGAUGAUCUUUUAGUAUAAGACGAUGAUUAGUAGCUCCAAUUCAAUAUCCACACCAGCGACAUAGAACGUAUAAAAUAUAGAAGGGUUUUGCUCGCAUGACAUUUUUUGGGUCAUUAUGAGAGUAACGGUAUACUGUGAGUUGUAAAUUCUUAGAGUGAAUCUUACAACAAUUAUUAAUUAUUAAUUUUUUUUAUGAUCCAUAACAAGCUAUUAAUACCAUAAUAGAUUUAAAACAAAUACAUGAAUAGAGAAAUCCAACGUCUUUCUUUAAGCUUGGCCCAUAAAACCCAUUAUCAACUCCAAAACGGAAGUAACUUCUUCAACCACCGCAUAGAUGCUGCACAUAUUGAAUGAUCCUAGUAUGUCCUCCUAUUUGGAAGCUGCACGUGCUAGGAGAUGAUCAGCGAAUUUCAGCGACGUUUCAAACUAGGAUCCUGGGAAGCAGAAUCCUAUACAACAUAGGAUUCAAGUAGAUGUGGAAAACGAAGGUAAUUGCACAGUAAUACCUACUCACACAAUCGCCUCGAUGCUCACAUGAAAAAAGAAUUUACGCCUGAGCUCUUGAAACCUUGGGCGAUGUUGGCCUUGGUGGGAUCAAGGAGAGCAGCCCCUUUAGCGAGAGGGUCAACGGACUGAGCGCUCGCUUAAACUUUGAACCUUCCGAGAUAUCCAGUGCCUCUGAUCACCAGGAGUUUGUUCUUCUUGGCCAUUGAAGGUUCGUCCCGGCGGCAGCAUGGUUUUUCCCGGCGAACUUGCUCGGUCUUGGACCAUAGCUGCUGGCGUGUUGGCAGGCUCCGAGAUGAAUCAUCAUCUGAUUUUGAUUUCAGAAGGGCGAAAAUGUCUUUUUAUGUGAACUGGUUUUUCUUGAUAUCGCCAUUAGCUGGAAAAGAAGUGCACGCAAAGUGGACUAAUAGAAACAGAAGAAAAUCUAAUAUAAAGUACUUCAAUAAAGAUUUUGUCAAGUUUGAGAGAUAAUUCAAAUUAUUGUGAAAAAAAGAAAAAUUAACUUACCAAAAAUAAGAAAUUCCACGUUUAAGUUUGGAUGGUGCUAAAGAUUUGAGGAAUCUUAAUUUUGAAGGACUGGAGAUUCUAAUUAAUUUUAUUAUUAUGGUUUUGUUUCUUGAUUGAUACUAGACUAUUCUAACUUACAAUGAUUUUUCAUGUAAAUAUUAAGGAAGAAGUUGAAAUAGUUCUUUUAUAUCAUAUGAAAAGUGAAAAUGGUAUGAAAGGACAAUAAGUUAUUCCACACGCAUGUGCUUGCCUGGAAUCAUGACGACCGUUAAAUGAUUGUUUUGAGGAAAAGGUAAGUGAAAUUGGUAUGAAAGGGCAAUGAGCUAUUUGACGUGCAUGCACUUGCAUGGUAUCAAGACAUUUCAUAUCGCUAAAUGAUUGCUUUGAGGUGCACUAAAUUCUUUCCAAAGGCAGUGUCGAUCAAGGCACUGUUUGGUAACGUUUUUGUUUCUCGAAACAAAAAAAGUACAUAAAUCCGUUUGGUAACGUUAAUUAAUUUUUCUAUUCCCUAAAAUAAAAAGUGGCAAAUGAAUAGAUUUGGAAUAAAAAUAAGAAGUAGAAAAAAAGUAGAUUCUUGUUCCCGGGAACAAUUUUUAGAAAUAAUUUAUUUUCUCUUUUCUUUUCUUCUUUUUUUCUUAUUUGCCAGUCGCCACCCCCUUCUGCUGCUUGCCAUCAGUCGACCACUACGACUGGCCGGCUGUCGCCGCCGGCUACUGACCCUCGCUGCCGAUGACCACCAACAACGCCACCCGCCACCCGUUGCCACUAAUCAUCACCGGCGGGGGUUGGCAAUGGGCAGCGAUGAUCAACGGCCGGCGGCUAGCGGCAGCAGUGGUCGGCGAUUGGCAACAAUAAAGAAGAAUAAGAAAAAAUUAAAAGAAAUUUUAUAUUACUAUGAAUCGUACCAAACACAUUCCUAUUAUUUUUCCAUUUCGAGGAUAGAAAUUUUACAUAAUUAUCAAACGUAUUCUUUUAUUGAGAAAUUGUCUCAAGGAAUAAAAAUAGAAAAAGACUAUUUCUAAAAAGAAAUUGUUCUCCGGAACAGAAGUGUUACCAAACAAAUCCUAAGAGUACUCUUUAUGAUUUUCCAAGGAACAUAAGAUUUCUAUGUUUUCAAAUUCAUGAGUUCUUAAAAAAAAUGAGACUGAGGUUUUUAGAUUGAUUCCGCCACUAAAGAGUGAGUUCAAUGCACAUAUAUUAAGCAAGUAGUAAGAUAGUCUCUUUAUCAUUAAAUGGAAAAUAUCUAAUGUUUAAAUCGUCCAUAUGAAAUUUGAAAUUGCAAUUUACGUAAUAUGUGAAGUUAACACGGUACUAAGUAGACACCGCCUUAUUGGACUCUCUUGUUUAGGAAAGGAUAUGAGUCCUCACUCUCAACGUUUAGUAAAAAAUUUGGUUCGCAAGGUGUCCAAAUUUAUUGUGCAUGCCUCUCUUUCUUCUUGCUUGUUCCAUGCCCAUAACAGUCCUCAAAUCAUUAAGGAUAAUCCAACACCGCGAGGUAUUCAUCCAUGGGUUUUAACUUGCUAUUCUUUAAGCUUACCCUUCACCAAGUGGCAACAAAAACAUCAUCCUUGUUUUUUUGGUCGGUAAAACAUCAUCCUUGCUGACUUCUAUAUAUAUAUAAUCUGCUAAGUAAACCUCGAUUUUAGAUUCCGAGGAGAUCUUCGAGGACAUGUAAAUUACUUGAUUUCAAAAUUGUGCAUCAACAAUGCUCCACUACGAGAAUAAAAACGGAAGAUUUAUACUUUUCACCCCUCUACUUUUUCCGAUCCUCCAAUUAAGUCCGUGUACUUUCAAUUUGUCUAAUUAAGUCAAUUAGGUUUUACCCAAAUUCGGGAUAGGCUUUUGGCACGACACCAUAAACCCUCGUCCUUUUUUUAUUUGUUAGCUAGCCCCCGAACACAUAGCACCUCCAAAACAGAAGUAACUUCUCUAAGCAUACAGCACUGAUGAGCACUUAUUCAGUAUUCAUAGUAUGUCUUAAUAUCUGGAGGUUGUACAGUGCCAUGAGAUAAUCAAUGGGAGCGAUGUUUCCCACUAGUUUCGUGAGAAACUAUAUACUAUUACCAUUUGUGUAUCCAAGCUGAUGUGAGAAAUCAAAUCCCCAAGAACAGUAAGCUUCGACAAUCAGACAAACUGAUUAAGGUACUCAUCCACGCUGAUGUAUUUAACAUCAGGGUAGAGCUCCGAAGCUUCCACUCCGUACGACGGCUCAAUCUCGAAGUUAGUUUGGUCUCCUUUCACGAAAACAGAAUGGGAUAUGGCCCACACCAGAUCGUCUGGAGAUUUCACAUCUGCAAUAUGAGCGGACAAGUAGACCAAUCGUUGUCAAAAGGUUUAAAUCUCAUAGAGAAUAGAGACAAUUUUUACGUGCUCAAAUCUAAUAGUAACACAUUUGUGACCUCGAAUUUUCUUCAGAACUUGCUCCUCUGGAACAUAAACCCUCUCCAGGUUCUUGCCGGUCUUUCUCUCCCACAAAGACACGAGAUCAUUCAUCGAGUAGGUGCUGCCAGGAGGUCUGAUGUACAAAAUUUUGUUCAAGGUCCUAGGAUCAUCCACAGCUUUGAUGGUAUAGGUGCCGAUAUCAUCCUCCCUGUUAAACACCACUGUACAUUGACGGGAGAAUUUUAGAAUUUGGCUAAUAAAUAUAUCACAAAAACUUUGACCUUUCGGCUCUUAUUUAAAGAACUCUCUCAAUAAAAAGAUUCAUCAUGGACGAAUGCAUUCAUAUGUUCUUUUCUCAACUAGAUACAUAAGAUAACCUUCUUAAUAUGCUGACCAGGCGGUAUUGUGCCAAGAUAACCAACAUCACUUUUAUAUCAUUUAUUAGUCUCCGGAAGUCAAGAAUAAUGGAUGUAAAAGACCCGACAUCUCCAGCUAGGGGAGUUGCCUGGAAUUCUCAAGCUUCAGGAAUUGUCCUCACUCUGAUUACUCCCGUAAUUAAAUCGUAAAAGUUGUACAGAAAAAUCUUGACGAAUCAGAAUGGGUAUUUCGAUGCUUCUUACCUUUCGCAUUACCAUCCCCUAAGAUGACAAUUCUCUCUCUAGAGGCAGCUCUAGUCCUGGGCUGCACCAAUGUUGAACGGUGCCAACCUACAAGAAAGUUACAACACACAUAGGUAUACGGGAUUCCCUCUUCCUCAAGAAGGCGGUGGAUGUCGGUAUAGUAAGCAGCAUAAAAAGUUCUUGCUGGCUCCACAGCAUGGGCACGAUCCACAUCACUUCCAAACACUGAAGGCAAGAAUCUCUAGAAAGAAAAAUAAUCCAAUCAGAAGAAAUAUUUCCAUUGGAAAGCAACGAAAAUUUGGAGCACAUUCCCCUUAUCCAACAAAAUUAUAUGAGUUCUGGCAAAAUAAAACAAAACAAACUUGAAAGUGACUGAAUUUCAUGUUUGUUUUUUUUUUGUCAGUAUGUUACUAUAACAGAGUAAAAACUGAUCAUAAGUGAAACAAUAAAUUCAGCAAAUAAGCAAAUUCUACCAUAAGUGCUAUUAGAAAAGUAGAAGAAAUGGAAAGUGAAGAUUUCAAUGUUAGGCAGCAGCCAGAUAACUCUGUCAAGUAUAAAAUAUGCAAACAUGCUGCUUGCUUGAAUGGACACUUUCACAGUGAUAAAAUAUCAGGCAAGUCCAUUGCCUUUUCGGAGCAUGCUGAGUUCCACUCAUUGUUGGCUGUCAACCACCCGCAGCAACAACGAUUACUACUAAGUACUAUCCCAGUAAGUGGGGUUGGGUAACAUACAUGCAACAAUAAUACUCCUGAAAAGGACCAUUUCAAGGUUAAACUGGUUCAUGUUCCUCGCGAAUUCAUGAUCGAAGCGCUGGGAUACAAGUCCAUAGUCCAUAUUGAGUGACUGAAACUUGUUAUGUUAUUUUUUUUUUUUUGGCUGACCUAGAGGAAACCCAAACCCACAGGGACUUCUACACAGAGUCAUGACCAAUUAAGAUGAAAAAAGAUGUGAAGUCUACAGAUAAAUGAGUCAAUGCAUCCCAUUUGAUCAAAUGAAGCUCACAAGGAGAACGCUAUGCACUAAUACCAGAAGAAAAGAAGUAAGCUAACACAACCUAUAUCAUCAGUCGAAUGCUAAACGGACAAUGAUAACGAGGACAAAAUCAUUAGAAACAGCACCACCUUUAUAUUUCCGGCCGUCAAAAUGGCAGCAGCAAUCUUGUAUUGGUCAUCAGGUGAUGUCUCAACAGUAGAAAUUACCACAUCAACCUGCCUCAUCACAUUCACCAGAGUAUGUGGAACGUCUAUGUCUCCCUGAGAAUCAAAUGACCAAGAGCAUGAAUAAACAAUUGAUGAAGUCAACAAUCAUCAACAAAUCCUGUUUCGGCGAUGGGAUUCAUAAUCGAUGAAGAUAAGACUUCAACACCUUUAUCAGGCAAGGGAAAAAAAAAAGAUCUACUAUCCACAGAAUUCUCCUCCGUGGCAUCUGAACAACAGGUCAGUGCAGUUACUACGUAGCUGUAGCUGUCUCAUAAACAGCUAAGGCAUAAGGAAGUUUCUGUAAGAUUUGUCUGAAAAUGCGCGCGUUCGAAUCAACACGCGAAGCUGAGAUGAAUCGUCAAGCAGUGAGAAAAUGAGAAGGACGUCAUAAAAAUUUCACCUAUUUCGCCAACAUACGAGGACAAAAUAUCAGAAAAGACAAUGAACAACACCGAAUCGCAACGUGGCUCCAAUCAGCUCGAUCGAGUGAGAGAUGGAGACGAAACUCAGCUCCGAUUCUACGGCCGAAGACGUUUCUCGGAACGACGAACAAGAUUCAACGGCAGGUGACGCUUUCGGUUCCUCGAAGCGGAACCAGAUGUCGGAAACGAACGCCAUCGCACGGGCAUAGCUAGCUACUCACCAGAACUACGUAGACGCCUAAUCUCCUGAAACCUUGGACGAAGUUGGUCUUGGCAGCGUCGGCCGGAGUGGACAGCGGUUCCACGAAAGCGAAGGUGGGGUGGCCGGACUUAGCACUCGCUUCCACGACGAACUUUCCGAUGAGUCCGGUGACUCCGAUCACCAGGACUUUGCUCUUCUCCGCCAUCUCGGAGGGGUUUUUCACGGCGGAGUCGGUGGAUUUUCUCCGGCAAGCUCCGUCGGUCUUCGCAGCGACUGUGCUUCAACUGUGUCUGCGAGAAAGGGAGAGAGCGCGCAAAAAAUGCCCGGGGCUCUUCUACACGGAGCCAAUUUAUAUAUUUUGAUUCCAGAAGGGCGUAAUUAUCUUUUCAAUGAAUUGUCCUUCCAGCCUAUUGACUUCUCGAUCUGAUCCUUCACCAGAAAAAAAGUGCAUGAAAUUAAUUUUCUAUUACAUUUAUCCUAAAUUAACUUUGUACCUAAAAUAUUCUCCAGCCGGAUACAAAUGUCAUCCCAAACUAAUUUUUAAUGUAAAAAAUUACUGCAAAUUUUGGACAAAUGUGACAUGAAUAUAACAAUAUAAAAAUUUUUGUGAUAUAAAAAUUAUUUUUUGGUAAAUAUAAUAUGGAUGUACUAGUUUGAGUUUUUUUUUUUUUUUAUGGUAUUAGUCCUGAAAAAAGAAAGGGAAGAAAAUAAAAUAUAAAGUAUUCUAAUAAUGAUGUUGUCUAAUUUGAGAGAUGAUUCAUUUUUUGUGAAAUGAGAAAAACUUAACUUGCCUAGAAUAACAAAAUCCAAAUUUAAGUUUGGAUGGUGUUAGAAAUUUAAGUAAUCCUAAUUUUGAAGUGCUAGAAAUACUGUUUAAUUGAAACUAUAUUUUGUUUUCUCAAUUGAUAUUGUACUAUUAUAAUUUACCAUGAUUUUUUAUGUCAUUGAUAAAAAAAGAAGUUGAAACCAUUUUUUAGGUUUACUUUAUCAUAUGAAAUAAUAAGAGAAAAUGGUAUGAGAGGACAAUGAGCGAUUGGACAUGCGGAUGCACAUAUAUACAUGAUAUCACGGAGUUUCAUAGUCGCUCUAUGAUUGUUUUGAGGUGCCAUUUCUUUUUUCCUGUAGGUUCAACCACAUUAGUUAAUUUUUUAACUUUUUGGCCAACAAAACAUUAUCUUGUAAACAAUUCAUAACUUAUUGAAGGAGACUAACCUUGUUAGAUUGGCUCAUUGAUUGAAUAGGGAGCAUGAUGCUAGUAAGUUAGACAUAUAUAAAUGAUAAUCUCUUUAUCAUUAAAUACGAAAGAUUCAAUGUUUAGAUCACCAAUUCGAAAUUGAAAGUGCAUAUCAUUUGAGUGCUCGUUUUGCUAAAAAGGGUUUACUGAAAUUUGUUUUCCAUAAUUUCACAUGCUUAGCUACCGCGAGUCUAGUUCGAGGGUUGUUCCAACUUCAUCGAACAUUUGCCUUUUUUCUUUGCCUUGUUUGCUCCCCGCAGUAAGAAUCCUUAAACUUGUUAUUCUUUUUAAGUUUAUCAUUCAUGAAAGGAGAUUUCGUCAGCUAAGGAAACCCAGAGUUUCAAUUAACUUUAGAUAUUCGAGGAUAUAUAUAAAGUAUUUGAUUUCACCACAAUGAUUGCCUAUAGACUAUUUAGACAUGAGAAACUACUCAACUUUAUUUGUUUAGUAAAAAAUGAAUAAUUUUAAAAAUAUUCUUCUAGAAAAUGAUUACUUGCAUAUUUUAAAAUGAUUAGUCGAUGAAAAAUGUUGUUAUUAUCAACAACAAAAUAUGUCUAAAUAUUUUUGUAAACGACGGAAAUAUUUUUUGUCCAUUUAUUUUAUAAGCGAUAUAAAUAAUCAUUUUUGAGAUAUUUUUUCUUAUAAAUUAUUCAUUUUUUGCGAAAUAAAUGAAGCUUAAGACACAAUUAUCUUUUAGUCUAAGACCAGGAAAUUAGGUGAAUUAUCGAACAUCAUUAGCGGCUCGAAUUCAAUACCCAACCGACGACAUAAAACGUAUAAUAUACAGAAAUAGAAAAAACUCAUAUCAAACUCCAAAAUAGAAGUAACUCCUCCAAGCACUGCAUAGACGCCUCGCACAUCGAAUGUUUCCAGUAUGUCCUCGUAUUAGGAACUUGCACGUGCCGUGAGAUGAUUAGCGGGAUGCGGAGAAGCAGAAUCCUAUAUAACUUACGGUUCAAGUUGAUGUCGGAACCGACGACAUAAAACGUAUAAUAUACAGAAAUAGAAAAAACUCAUAUCAAACUCCAAAAUAGAAGUAACUCCUCCAAGCACUGCAUAGACGCCUCGCACAUCGAAUGUUUCUAGUAUGUCCUCGUAUUAGGAACUUGCACGUGCCGUGAGAUGAUUAGCGGGAUGCGGAGAAGCAGAAUCCUAUAUAACUUACGGUUCAAGUUGAUGUCGGAAACGAACAUAAUUGCACCGUAGUGACAACUCACGACACGAUACACACAUGAAAAAUUUGACGCCUAAGCUCUUGAAACCUUCUUGUCCAAAAAAAAAAAAAAAAAAGCUCUUGAAACCUUGGGCGAUGUUGGCCUUGGUGGGAUCGGAGAGACCGGGGCUCCCUCACGAGAGCAAAGGUAAGGUGACCGGACUUAGCACUCGCUUCAACUAUGUACUUUCGAGGCAUGCAAUGCCUCCGAUCAUCAAUUAGCUGGAAAAGAAGUACAUGCGAAGUGGACUAAUAGAAACAGAAGAAAAUCUAAUACAAAGUUUAAGAUUUUGUUGAGUUUGAGAGAUGAUUCAAAUUAUUGCGAAAUAAGAAAAUUUAUCUUACUAAAAAUAAAAAAAUCUGCACUUAAGUUCAGAUGGUGCUAAAGAUUUAAGUAAUCUUAAUUUUGAAAGAUUAGAGUUUCUAAUUUAUUUUGUAUGAUGAUUUUAUUUCUCAAUCGAUAUUUAGACUAUUAUAACUUACAAUGAUUUUUCAUGUAAAUAAAAGUCGAAACCAUUUUUUGUAUCAUAUGAAAAGACUAGUGAAAACGAUAUGAAAGGGCAACGAGCUAUCCGACGUGCAUGUACUUGCAUGGUAUCAUGACGUUUCAUAUCGCUAAAUGAUUGUUUUGAGGUGCACUAGAUUCUUUCCAAAGGGGGGUUGAUCAAGAGAUUACUCUUUCUGAUUUUUUGGGCAACAUAAGAUUUCUAUAUUUUCAAAUUCACAAGUUCUUAAGAAAAGGAAACCGAGGUUUUUAGAUUGAUUCCGAUUCUAAAGAGUGAGUUCAAUGCACAUAUAUUAAGCACGUAAUAAGAUAGUCUCUUUAUCAUUAAAUGGAAAAGAUUUUAUACUUAGAUCAUUCAUAUGAAAUUUGAAAUUGCAAUUUACCUAAUUUGUAAACACGGUAUUAUGUAGACCUCGCCUUAUUGGACUUUCUUAAUUAGGAAAGGACACGAGUCCGCGCCCACCAUGAUUAGUAAAGAAAUUGGUUCGUGAGGUGUCCAGAUUCAUCAUGCAUGACUCUCUUUCUUCUUGCUUGUUCCACGCCCAUAACAGUCCUCGAAACAUUAAGGAUCAUCCAACACCGCAAGGUAUUCAUUAAUGGGUUUUAACUGGCUAUUCUUUAAGCUUUACCCUUCGACAACUGGCGACAAAAAUAUCAUCGUUGCUGGACUUCUAAAAAAAAAAAAUCUACUAAGUAAACCUCGAGUUUAGAUUCUGAGGAGAUCUUCGAGGCCGUACAAAGUAUUUGAUUUCAGAAAAGUGAGUAUCAACUAUACUCCACUACGAGAAUAAAAAAGGAAGAUUCGUACCUUUCACCCCUGUACUUUUACCGCUUCUCUAAUUAACUGCCUGUGCUUUCAAUUUGUCUAAUCAAGUCUUCUACGGGUUGAGAAGUCAAUUAGGUUUUACCCAAAUUUGGGGAAGGCUUUUGGCACGACACCAUAAACCCUUUUCCUUUUUUUAUUUAUUAGCUAGCCCCUAAACCCAAAACAACUCCAAAAUAGAAGUGACUUCUCCAAGCACACAGCACAGAUGAGCACAUAUUCAUUCAGUAUUCAUAGUAUGUCUUAAUAACUGGAGGUCGUACAGUGCCAUGAGAUGAUUAAUGGGAGCGACGUUCCACACUAGGUUCGUAAGAAGCAGAAUACUAUUACCAUUUCUGAUUCCAAGCUGAUGUGAGAAAUCAAAUCUCCAAGCACAGUAAGUUUCGACGAUCAGACAAACUGAUCAAGGUACUCAUCCAUGGUGCUGUAUUUGACGUUUGGGUAGAGCUCCGAAGCUUCCACUCCAAAUGACGGCUCAAUCUUGAAGUUAGUUUGGUCUCCUUUCACAAAAAUAGAAUGGUAUAUGGCCCACAUCAGAUCAUCUGGAGAUCUCGCAUCUGCAAUAUGAGCGGACAAGUAGACCGAUGGACAUCAAAAGGUUUAAAUAUCUUAGAGAAUAGAGACAACUUCCACAAGCUGAAAUCUGAUACUAAUGCAUCUGUGACCUCGAAUUUUCUUCAGAACUUGCUCCUCUGGAAUAUAAACCCUCUCCAGGGUCUUGCUGAUCUUUCUCUCCCACAAAGACACGAGAUCAUUCAUCGAGUAGGUGUUGGCAGGAGGUCUAAUGUAGAGAAUUUUGUUCAAGGUCCUUGGAUCAUUCAUGGCUUUCAUGGUAUAGAUGCCGAUGUCAUCCUCCCUGUUAAACACCACUGUAUAUUGACAGGGAGAAUUUCAGAAUUUCGCUUAUAAAUAUAACACAGAAACUUUGAUCUUCCUAGAGAUACUUUCGCUUCACAUUUAAAGAACUUUCUUGAAAUAAUUAUUUUAUUAGAGACGAAUGCAUCCAUAUGUUCUUUUCUCAACCAGAUGCAUAAAGAUAACCUUCUUAAUAUGCCGACCAGGCGGCAUUGUGCCAAGAUAACCAACAUCUCUUUCAUAUCAUUUAUGAGUCUCUGGAAGUCAAGACUAAUGUAUGUAAAAGGCCCGACAUCUCCAGAUAGGGGGUUGCCUGAAAUUCUCAAGCUUCAGGAACUACCCUCAAUCUGAUCACUUCCGUAGUUAAAUCGUAAAAAUUGUACAGAAAAAUCCCGACGAAUCAGAAUACGUAUUUCAACAAAUUGCUACUUACCUUUUGCAUUACCAUCCCCUAAGAUGACAACUUUAUCUCUAGAGGGAGCUGUAGCCCCAGGCUGUGCCAAAGUAGUACGGUGCCAACCCGCAAGAAAGUUGCAAGACACAUAGGUAUACGGGAUUCCCUGUUCCUCAAGAAGGCGGAGGAUGUUGGUAUAGUAAGCAGCAUAAAAAGUUCUUGCUGGCUCCACAGCAUGGGCACGGUCCGCAUGAUUUCCAAACACUGAAGGCAAGAAUCUCUAGAAUAAAAAUAACCAAAUCAGAAGAAACAUUUCUAUUGGAAAACAACGAAAAUUUAGAGCACAUUGCCCUUAUCCGACAAAAUUAUAUUAGUUCUGGCAAAAUAAAACAAAACAAACUUAUACGAGACUGAAUUUCUUUCUUCUUCUUUUUUUUUGUCAAUAUGUUACUAUAACGGAGUAAAAAAACGAUCAUAAGUAAAAUAAAAGAUUCAGCAAUUAAGCAAAUUCUAGCCCAAGUGCUAUUAGAAAAAUGGAAGAAAUGGAAAGUGAAGAUUUAAAUGUUAGGCGGCAGCCAGAUAACUGUCAAGCAUAAAAUAUGCAAACAUGCUGCUUGCUUGGAUGGACAUUUUCACAAGUGCUAAAAUAUCAGAGGAAAGUCCAUCGCCUUUUGGGAGCAUGCUGAGUUCCAUUCAUUGUUGGCUGUCAACCACCCGCAGCAACAACAGUUACUACUAAGUACUAUCCCAGUAAGUGGCGUGGGAUAACAUUAUGCAACAACAAUACUCCUGAAAAGGACCAUUUCAAGGUUAAACUAGUUCAUGUUCCCUGCGAAUUCAUGAUCAAAGCGCUGGGAUACAUGUCCAGAGUCCGUAUUGAGUGAUCGAAACUUCUUACGUUUUUUUCUUUGCUGACCUAGAGGAAACCCAAACACACAGGGACUUCUACACAAAGUCAUGACCAUUUAAGAUGAAAAAAGAUGUGAAUUCUACAGAUAAAUGAGUCAAUGCAUCCCAUUACAUCAAAGCGAAGCUCACAAGGAGAAGGUGUUGCACUUAUGCCAGAAGGAAAGAAUUAAACUAACACAACCUGUAUCAUCAGUCAAAUGCUAAACGAACAGUGAUUACGAGGACAAAAUCAUUCGAAGCAGCACCACCUUUAUAUUUCCGACCAUCGUAAUGGCAGCGAUAAUCUUGUAUUGGUCCUCUGGUGAUGUCUCAACUGUGGAGAUUACCACAUCAACCUGCCUGAUCGCAUUCAACAGAGUACCUGGAUCGUUUAUAUCUCCCUGAUAAUCAAAUGACCAAGAGCAUGAAUAAACUAUCGAUGAAAUCAGCAAUCAUCAACAAAUCCUGUUUUGGCAGUGGGAAGACUAAGAAAAGGAGAGAUUCAUACUUCAAGACCUUUAUCAGACGAAAAAAAUACUAUGACAAAUAAAAAACAAGCUACUACAGAAUUCUCGUCCAUGGCAUCUGAAGAACAGGUCAGUGCAGCUACGUAGCUAUAGCUGUCUCAUAAACGGCUAAAACAUAAGGAAGUUUCUGUGAGAUUUGUCUGAAAAUGCACUCGUUCGAAUCAACACGCGAAGCUGAGAUGAUUUGUCAGGCAGCGUGAAAAAUGACGAAGAGCAACACCAAAUCGCAACAUGACUCCAAUCAACUCGAUCGAGCGAGCGAAGGAGACGAAAAUCAACUCCGGUUCUACCGCUGAAGACGUAUCUCAGGACGGCGAACGAGAUUUAACGGCAGGUGACGCUUCGGUUCCUCGAAGCAGAACCAGAUGUCGGAAACGAAGGCGAUCGCACGGGAAUAGCUUCUCACCAGAACUACGUGGACGCCUAAGCUCUUGAAACCUUCGACGAGGUCGACCUUGGCAGCGUCGGACGGAGUGGACGGCGGUGCCACGAGAGCGAAGGUAGGGUGGCCGGACUUAGCACUGGCUUCCACGACGAACUUUCCGAUGAGUCCGGUGACUCCGAUCACCAGGACUUUGCUCUUCUCCGCCAUCUCGGAGUGGCUUUUCACGGCGGAGUCGGUGGAUUUCCUCCGGCGAACUCGCUCGAACUCUGUAGCGACUCUGCUCCAACUGCUUGUAACAAAGGGAGAGCGCGCGCUAAAGUGCCGGGGCUCUUCACGCGGAGCCAUUUUAUACUUUGAUUCCAGAAAGGCGUAAUUGUCAUUUCAAGAAAUGUCUUUCCAGCGAAUUGACUUUUCCCUAUCUGAUUUUUUUUUUUUUGAUCCGGGAACCACCGUACAGCCGGCAGCCGAGCUGACGGCGUAAACCCGGGACGAACUGAGCCACCACCACAGGCCCAGCUGCGGGUGAGUCGCUCAAUGGGGACACGGGGUUUCGAACCCUCUGGGGGAGUAAAGUUCUAGCCAUCGCGGCCACCACGGGCGGUGAUUCCCUAUCUGAUCUUUCAUCGCAAAAAAGUGCAUGAAAUUAAUUUUCUGUUACAUCUGUAUUAAAUUAAUUUCUUAUCCCUACAAAAUUUCCAAACUAGUAUAGUAGUGCCAUAUACGCCCAAAACUAAUUUCCAAUGUCACAAACUAGGAUGAUAUGAAUAUAACAAUAUAAAAUUUUUAUGAUAUAAAAAUUAAUUUUUGGUAAAUAUAACAUAAAUGCACUAAUUUGAGAUUUUUUUUUUGCGAUGUUAGUCUCGGAAAAAAAGGGGUAGAUAAUCAAAUAUAAAUUAUUUUAAUAGCGAUGUUGUCCUUGAAACUAGAAAAACUUAACUUACCAAGAAUAAGAAAAUCCAAAUUUAAGUUUGGAUGGUGUUUAAAAUUUUAAGUAAUCCUAAUUUUGAAGUUUUAGAAAAAUUGUUUAAUUUAAAGUAUAGUUUGUUUUCUCAAUUGAUAUUGUACUAUUAUAAUUUACCAUGAUUUUGAUAAAAGAGAAGUUGAAACCAGUUUUUAGGUUUACUUUUUCAUAUGAAAUAAUAUAAAAUACUAUGAGAAGACAAUGAGCUACUCAACAUGCCUAUGCAUACAUAUACAUGAUAUUACGGAGUUUUAUGGUUGUUACAUGAUUAUUUUGAGGUGCAAAUUCUUUUUUCUGUAGUCAAUCACAUAAAUUACUUUUUGGCCAACUUUUCGAUAAAAAGAAAUAACUUUUUGGCAAACAAAAUGUGUUUUAUAAAUAAUUCAUAAGUUCUUGUAGAAACGAGAGUAACCUUGUUAGAUUGAUUCAGUAAUUAAAUAGUGUGCAUGAUGCAAGUAAGUCAGGCAUUUAUAACAAUAAUCUAUUUAUCAUUAAAUGUGAAAGAUUUAAUUUUAGAUUAUCUUUUUGAUAUUGAAAUUGCAUUUUACUGGGUGUUUUUUUUUUAUAGUUAAAAAGGGUUUUUGGAAAUUCAUUUUCUAUAUUUUCACAUGUUUAGUAGCCAAAAAUGGAUUGAUUGAUGAAAAAUCAUUUAUAGUAAAGGAAAACAUCCUCCCUAAAAAAACGAGGAAACUUUUCUCUACUCUCGAGGGAGGAAAUCAUUUUCAAGUUAAUAACCAAACAAGACUUGAAAAUGGUUUUAGUAUAAACCUUAAACAUCAAGUUUUUCGCGGAAAAACUCAUGAUAAAUAGAAAUUUUUUUUGGGAAAUUUUUUUUCAAGAAAAUAUAUUUCCGUUUCAAGUUAAGGAAUUCAAUUUUUGAAUGUUAAGCAAGCAUAUUUUUUGAGGACUUGCAGUCACGUUGGGCCUUAUACUCCUAGACUAUGUAGGUUGCCUAGGGUCUAUCUAUUAACUUGCCGGAUAGUGACCGAUUCUAUUCUUUUAUUAUUGGGAACAAAUAAAAAAUAAAAAUCCGUUUGAUAAAUUUUUUGUUCCUGAUAAAAGAUUUGGAACAAAAUUUAGAAAUGGAAAAAAGUUAUUUUUUGUUCUCAGGAAUAAUUUCAGAAUCAAGCACAAUCUAUUUUUCUUUUCUCUUUUCUUUUCUUCUUUUCUCCUUCUCUCUUCUUCUCUCUCCUUCCUCCUAGCCAGUCAUUGGCCACUGCCGCUACUGUCGACGAUCAUCGAUCGCCACCCACAAAUAAGGAGGAAGAAGAAGAGAAAAGGAAAAAGAGAAAAACAAGAAAAAUAUAAUAAAAUUAUUAAAAAUUAAAAGAAAUAAAAAAAAUUAAGAGUCUUACCAAAUGCACUUCUAUUCCGGAAAUAUAAAUUUUUGAUACUCAAGGCGCGUUUGGUAACGUUUCUAUUAAAAAAUUGUUCUCGGGAACAGAAAUAGAAAAAACUAUUUCUGUUCCGGUGAACAAUUUUUGAACAGAAGAACACAUUUGGUAACUGCAAAAAAUUUAUGUUUCUGGAAUAGAAAAAGAACAGAAACACGUUUGGUAAACUUGUAUAAUUUUUUAAUAUUUUUAUUUUAUUUUUCCUUUUUUCUUCUUUCUUCUUUUUUCUUUUUUCUUUUUUUUCUUUCUUCCUUUUGGCCAGCGGCCUCACCCAGCCACGGCGAGGUUUGCCGAGCCUCGCCGUGGCUGGGCGAGCUUGAGCUAAGGUCGAGCUCGCCCAACCACCGAUGAGGCUGAGCCUUGCCAGGCCACCGCCAGGUCGGCGUUGCCCAGCGGUGGCCAGGCAAGGCCGAGCCUCGCCGGUGGCUAGGUGAGCCUCACCAGGCCACCAGCAAGGCUCAACCUCGCCCAGGCGACACGAGGUCGGCCUCGUGCCGGCUCCGGAGGCCGAGCCUCCCGUGGCCACGGCGAGGCUCAGGCCGGUGACGCUCCGGCGAGGUCGUCGACCCUCGUCUGGCCGGUCACCGGCGCCGGCCAUGGCCAAGGCCGGUGACCGGCAAAAGGAAGAAGAAGAAGAAGAAAAGAAAGAGAAAAAAAGAACAAGAAAAAUGAGAAGAAAAAAAAGUGUUUCUCGGAAGUGUUCCCGGGAACAAAAAAUAAGUUUUUUCUACUUCUUGUUUCUAUUCCAAAUUUGUUUCCGGGAAGAAAAAAAUAGAUUUUCUGUUCCAGGGAACAAAAGUUUAAACAAAUACGUUUCUGUUCUUUUUUUGUUCCCCGGAACAAAAAAACAAAAAUUGUGUUUUGGGGAACAGAAACAAAAAUUUGCCAAACACCCCCUUAUCAAACGUCUUCAAAUGUUCAAAAAUCAUUUUGGGAAACAAAAUAAAAAAGAAUCAUUUCCGAGCGGAAAUUAUCCCCAAGAACGGAAUAGUUACCAAACGUAUCCCUAUAGUUCAUCUUUUUUCAUAGAAUCAUAAUAUCAGUGUAAGACUUGAAGCAAUGCAUAAUGUCACGAAGAUAGAUAAUAUUAUCAAACAAUUCAGGAUUCCUAGCUUUGAGAAGACCUUCAUAUUUCAUGCACGACCAAGGUUGUUUAUGAUGAUUUUGAGUUUAUUUUGUACCCUGAAAUACUAACCACUUGGAUCGGUUGAUGUUGGUAUGCAGACUGCCGCUGCAGGGGAGAUGGAGGGCAAAACUUUUAUCUGCUAUGAAUAUUCAAAACCAGAUGGAUCGGUUCACUUCCAUUAUGCAGCAGAAGUUUUUGUCGGGAAGAUCACCAGCACUUGGAUUACUCCAAAAUAGAUGAGGACGAGAGCCUGGACGAUCGCUGGCUUAGGCAGGCCAGCCACGACGCCGAGGAGAAAUAUUUUACUCAAGAUUGAGAAUGUCAUGUGCAGUGAUUCAUCAUUGCCAUCUUGAACUAUUCUCUCUCUCUCUCUCUCAAACGCACGCACGCACGCACGCACACACAUUGGGCUAGAGUUGGAUGGGAGUCUCUUAGUUGUAAUUUGUAAUGAUUCUCGUUCAAUAAGUCGUGUAUCGCCAAAUGGGUCACUGUUUAUUUUCCCUCGCAGUGAUCUCUAUUGUUCCGUAUCUGUGGUUGUUGCCCAUGAUGGAUGGUCGCACUGUUCUUAUUUGAAUGGCAAAGGACGUUUUGAGGUGGACUUAGUUCUUUUUGGUGAAUUUUUGUAGUGACUUGGAAAGGUAAUUUUCAGGUAUUAAUGAUGUUAGAAAAAUCUGUAAAAUUAACUUAAAUGCCAUCACAACUCAGUCCGAUUGAUUUAUUCAUCAACUUAGAUUCAUCAGGAAAAGUUGCCACCUCAAAUGCUUGAUGCCCUUCUCUUGGAUGGGAUUCGGGAUUCUAAGAAUUAUUAACUAUUGCGUACUACCUGCCUUUACCAAAAAAAAAAACUAUUGCGUACUACCUGUGAAAAGACACUGCUUAUACCCAACUUGAAGAGAAGUGUUGUGACAAAAGUUGAAGUAAAACUUGCAAAGGGCAUAAUCCACCGUUAAUGUUCUUAUAUGAGAUGGCAUUACUUCUUAUAUAUGAGAUGGUCAUACUGUGGUACUUGGUCGAGCCAUUUUUUUGUCAAGAUUACUACUACUAGAGUUACUAAAAGUAUGGUGUUCACAAUAUCCAAGGCCUUGGACAAAGUGAGCAACUUCAUUUAAUUCAUGCGUCAAAACUUGCCUUACUUCAAAAGAGAUUCCGAUACAUGGACAUAGCAUCUGCCUUUGGCCAAUUCUUAAAAAUUGGCAACAAAAAGGAAAAAGGAUCAAACAUCACUGAAGAAAUCGAAAACUUUUAAUAGAAUUUUAAAAAAUGACAAUCAGUUCAAUAUGUUCGAUAGGCGAUGAUUCAAAGAUGAUGACAUUUUGCUGAUUACAAAUAAAAGACAUAAGAUAAAAUUGUUCAAGCGAAACAACAGCCAAAGUAGAUGACGCUCUCAAAGGACAUAUUGUUUUUUCUUCCCAAACUAAGGGCGUGUUUGCUAACGUUUCUGUUCCGGGAAACAAUUUUUGAACAGAAAUAGUUUUUUUUUGUUUCUGUUCUCGGGAACAAUUUCUGAGUAUAAGAACGCGCUUGGUAAUUGCAAAAAAUUUAUACUCCAGGAAUAGAAAUGUGUUUGGUAAAUUUGUAUAAUUUUGUUGUUUAUUUUAGUUUUUCAAUAUUUUUUAUUAUAUUUUUCUUUUUUUUCCUUCUUUCUCUUUGUGACUGGUCGUCGGCCAUAGCGGCGGUCGGCGACCGGUUGGGCGAGCUCCGGCGAGCUCGCCGGAGCCUCGCCAAGCCACCGUGAGGCUCGGCCUCGCCCAAAUCUAGCGAGGCUGAGCUCGCCCAGCCACGGCGAGGCUUAGCCCAACGAGCCUCGCCGUGGCUCGACGUCUCCGGGGGUUGGCGACGCUCCGGCAAAAGGAAAAAGAAGAAGAAGAAAAGAAAGAGAAGAAAAAAAGAGGAGAGAGAAAAAUUAUUUUUCGGAAUUGUUUCCGAGAACAAGAAAUAAUUUUUUUUUACUUCUUAUUUCUGUUCCAAAUCUGUUUUCGGGAACAAAAAAAAUAGAUUAUUUUAUUUUCAGAAACAAAAGUUUUACCAAACGUGUUUUUUUUUUUUCUGAAACAAAAAAAUAGAAAUUUUUAUUCCGGGAAACAGAAACAAAAAUAGGCAAAAAUGGCCUAAGCUGCUGACAAGAAUGGUUGAAGAGGUGAAUGGCCACUCAACUUUCAGUUUGCUCCCUCGGCCUCCGAACCGUACUGCUUACCGUCACUAGCAGUGCCGUGGCACUGAAACUGAAGAUGAGAAAAAGAGUUAUUCGGUCAUUCGUUCUAGCUUUUGGUAUAGUAUAAAAAUGAUUUUUUAAAAAUUUGAGCACGCUGGUUGCUGAGUCGUAGAUUUGGUUGUUAGUACUUUUUAAUGAAUGCCUUGAUUUAUGGUGAGCGUCAGAAAAAGAAUGAAAAACGAAUCCGCGAAGCAUGAUUCAUGGCAGGCAUUGGAGGAAGAUUGAAGACAAAAAAAAGCUACAAGCAUUUAAUGAAGAAACCUUCUGCACCCUGAAGACAGAGAAUGCUAUAAAAGCUCAUUGAAGAGUUCGCCGCACCUAUCUUCAAGUGCGUUUAUUGUGUGGAUAUUAUUUGACUUUGUUUGUGUGCAUUUAUGCAUUUGUCUUUUUUUUUUUAAUGUUUGUCAAAUUAUGUACACGUACAAGAACUAUAAAAGGUUGUGGACUUAAGAUUUUUUUUUUUUUGGGACAAUAGGAACCAACUUGCAGCCGACAGCCACACCGUAAACCUCCCAAUGACACUAGCAUAAGACCCACCACCACAGCGUCACGUUUAAGACACCUGGCGCCUCCACUGGGUUUUAGAACCCCUCACCUCUGGGCUGAGGAUCAACAGGGCCUUAUCCCGCGGAGCCACCAUGGUUGGUGGUAUUGUGGACUUAAAAUUUGUACCUGCACCGAAGGAAAAAGCAUUUGCAUUCCAAAUUAGUUCUCCGCCCGCCUGGACUUUACCACAGGCCUUGCAUCCCCAGAUUCAUGCAGCCUUCCUCUUCACAGCAUACCGUGAGGCACAAAGUUAGAAAGAUAAUGGAGAAGCAAUAUUACAAAAGAGCAGCAAAAAGAUUUACCUUCCCACAAAACUUGCAGAAAUACUUGCUAUGUUGGCUGACCUCCAUUUUCUUAAAUCUGCUUAUGCAGACUCGCCAACAGAAGUCCUUAAUUGAAUCCCCAUCUUCCUUUCAGACAUCAAUGUCCAUAAUUCACGAGGCAUGGUCGAUGCCAUGUAUUCAUUCGAUAAUCAGCUAUUUGCACCCAGAACUUGCUUAUAACAUCAUCAAGAUCCUUGCUGCACUUGCCGACAAUGCCUGCCUUCUUCGUUCUUUUGGUCUGCGAACAAAGCAAAUGGUGCGAAAUGCAAUUUUGUUUUUCAAGACUAAAAGAGACUAUUGUGCGUGCGCACAGUGCAUGAACACCAUCCAGUGUGGUUGAUGUUUGAACUCAUAUAUACAUGUCAUUCCUCUGAAUUGCACCACACAAUUACAGAAAAUUACGCGGCUGUGGAGGACUGCACAUCAUAGCACCAAAAGAAUACGUGUGCUAGAAGAAGAGCAUGAAGCUAGACUGCGUCUCUGUCGAAAUUCAAAAAGAGAACCAUGGUUGGUGUGAGAGAGAGAGAGCAGCAAACGAGUGGAGGCAGCUAUUGAAACAGCGUAGAUUAUUAGGCUACGUUUGGUAGUCAGAAUAAGAUAUAAUUUAGUAUAUCAUGUAUUUAGUCCUUACUCAAAUCAAGUCAAGAUAAUGCGGAUAUAAGAAAGAUAUAAUUUGGGUAAAAAAAUCUUGUGGGAGGGUUGGGAUAAAUGUGGAUAAAAAUAUUAGGGUAUGGCUAAAACUGCUUUGUUUCGUUAUUAUACGUAGAUGUAGAUGCAAUCGCAAAUUUGUUACCGACAACAUCAUCUGGGAAAUUUUCAAUGUGGCUCCCAAAGUUUUGGCCCAGUCCAAAUCGACCCCCUGCUCUUGCUUUUAUAUGCAUCAACUCUGGAAAUCUAUCACAAUCGAGUCCAAAUUGAUCAUUAUUCGAUUAGGGAGAUCGGAUCAAAUUGAGGUCACGGUGUCCUUACUUAGUUAAAUGGCAAUGAUAAAACCAAUUUAAAUUUGUUAACAACUUGCUUAGAAUUUAAACACGCGAAAGCGAAUAAUCAAAGUUCGAGAUGGAGAAUCAACAAUCACGUACUUAUUACUGAAUUUGUCCCAUGCCCUGAUCACAACUCAUCUACCAUAUUCGUAAACAUCAUUUAUCGGUCGAGAGAACAACGAAUCUUUCAAUUUUCAAGAAGCACAAUAAAUCUAUGAAAACUCCUUAUUGGAGUAAAUACUAAGAUUGUUGAUUAGAAUUCACUUUUUGUAUUUAAAUGAAUCCAAAUAAUAAUAAUAUAACAUGAUUUUUAUUAAAAAAUAUCUCGAGUUUAGAUCUCACUACCAUCCACACACACAGCAUUUAUUUCUCAUAAAUACGUUGAAAGUAGAAACACGCUUCAUGCUCAUCAUAUGAAUGUUCUCUUCGUGAAUUAAAUAAUGCAAGCGAUGACCAUCUCCAGGGUCAUGCGUCCUUGCAUUAAAUGAAGAGAGAGGAAAACGGUUGACGUCUUUGUUUAUUAUUCUUGUCAGCAUUUAAUGCUCUUCCUGCACUGGCCAUAUGAACGCGAACGCGCACGCGCACGCGCAGGAAGAUAGGAGAAAAUGAGCAGCUUUUUUUGGCUUCGUUCUCUGAAGAAAGGGAACAGUGAUGGCAUCAUUAGCCAUCAAUGUUGACUUUGACCGAUAGGAGAAGAAAUGAAAAGCUCUUAGCUCUUCGUGCAUAAAAGUCAAGAGAAAAGCGACACCAUCAUGAACAAAAAGAAAGAGUGAAGAAGACGUCCUCGCGCCGCGCUAAAUGAUGAUAGGCUUUUCUCGGUUAUAAAUAGAGACGAGCCAUCGGGGCAGAAGUGCGCCAAAUCCUUGGUGGCUGAGAGAGAGGGCUCUGAAACUGUAGAAGAGUGCAGAGAGAUAAAUUCUAGUGAGUAAAAUCCAUGUAAUUUUUUGAAUGAUAUUUCACUAGAAAUUAGGAGAAACUAAAUAUCAUAUAAGUUAUUAGAUAUAAUUAAAGAUUAGGAAAACAUCGAGUGUGUAUUAAAUGUUCGAAUAAUUAUAAUUUUCAUUAUAUCACUUAUUUUUAUAGUGAAAUGUCGUGAUGCUCUCUUUAUAGAUUUAAGUUUCGAUAUUCGGAUCAAAUUAUGUUAAUUUAGUGUUUGAUUUUCUUUUAUUUCUUUUGACUAGUUUUAUCGAUUUGAUUGGCCCUCCAUAUCCGCGACAGUUUUCACCCCAUUUACAACUUCUAUUCGGUCCUAAUUCCAGACUUACACUGUUGGCAUCGCAUACCAUUUGAUACAAUGGACAGCAGAAAUUUCGUUUCUUAAAGAAGGAGCGACACUAGCGUGACAUGCGCAAAAAUAGAGAAACCCAUGUCUUUCUUUUAGCUUGGCCCAUAAACCCUAAUCAACUGCAAAACAGAGGCAACUUCUCCAAGCACUGCAUGGAUGCGCACACAUGGAACGAAUGGGGUAUGGGAUGAUUAGCAGGAGCGACAUUUCAGACUAGGAUCCUGAGAAGCAGCAUCCACGGUCGUGUAUUAUUUACGAUUCGAGUUGAUGUGAGAAAUUACCGAGCACAGUCGAUUUCAAUAAUUAGAUAAACUAAUGAAGGUAUUGAUCCACAGUCGUGUAUUUGAUAUCGGGAUAGAGCUCCGAAGCUUCCACUCCGAAUGAUGGCUCAAUCUCGAAGUUGGUUUGGUCUCCUUUCACAAAAUAAGAAUGGAAUAUGGCCAACGUGGCAUCGAGUGGAACUACCACCUCUACAAUAUGACCGGAAAAGUAGACCAAUCGGAGCUUGAGAAUGGAGAUAAUAUCACGUACUUAAAUCUGAUAGAAAAGCACCCCUAACCUUGAAUGUUCUUCAGACCUGCUCCUCUGGAACAUACAUCCUCUCUAGGUCCUUGCCAAUCUUUCUCUCCCACAAGGACACAAGAUCGUAUGAUCACUGACUGCCUCAUUCUGUUGAUACUUGUGCUGAAUUAUAUCGGUCUUUUGAUGAUUAUACUGAACAAAUUUUGCUUCUAGGAUGGCACUAUCUUGGUGUGGAAAGGAGGUAGUGAGGCUGAUCCUUUCCAGAUGGCUGCGCCUCUCAGGAGUCACACUCAGGGCAUGGUAUCAUUAACUGUUGGGCCUGACCGGUUUUAUUCAGGUUCUAUUGACCGGACCAUAAGGGUAAGUGGGUUUGUCAUAGAUGUCUCUCCCCUUGAUUAGUUGUGUGUCCGGGGAAGGCGUGACUUGGCCCUAGUAGUUUAUGUUUUCUCUUGCAUUAUUUUAUUGGUUUACUACGUCCUCUCCGUAUUUUUCUGCGCCACUCCACUGUAGCAUCGUGCUGACCCCUCACAUCUUUCUUGUUUUCUCCCCCGCAGGUGUGGGACUUGCACACUCUGGAGUGUGUUCUGGAAAUUGUUGGACACACUGAUGUGGCGAUGUCACUGAUUUGCUGGGACCAGUAUUUGAUAUCUUGUUCAUUGGAUCAGACAUUCAAUGUUUGAGUUGCCACUGAAGGAGGCAGCUUGGAAGUUGCCUAUGCACAUCAUGAGGACCAUGUAUGUUGCUCGCUAAUUUUUUUUUUUUUUACACUUGUGUGGAUUAUGGUAUACUGUGGUUGAUGAUGGCACUAUAGGAAAAAGUUUAGGCAAAGGGUGAUUUUUUUUUUCUUAUUGACUCCAUAUGUGCGAAGUGCAUGGACCUGUUUUUCUAAAUUAGAUCACAAAUAUGCGUCUUAUUGCUUUUUGGUUUUACUUCCCACCUAAAAAUGACUAUAUGAAUAAUGUGGAAUGAAUCUUUGUAAUAUUGCCACACGAUCAAGUACCUUGCAUGUGCUUGCUUGCUCCAUGUGGAGAAGACAUGAAUUUUCAUCUUUUACCUGUCGAUGCUUUGUCUGUUUCUUACCGUGCUCCUAGUCUCAUGGAAGUGAUGUAAUAUCAUAUCUUGAUGUUGCAAAUAUCAUUUUGUCCAGCACAUGAUAUUUUUGCACUGUCAGGGAUGAAUGAUGCGGGUGGUAAGCCAGUCCUCUGUGCAUGCGUAGACAACACCGUUCACAUGUACGAGCUCCCAUCGUAAGUCCAAAAUAAUUUCUGUAAUUGGUUUGACAUCCUUGUCUCUCGGUGAAGACUGUUCUCUUCUGCUUGGCUGACUUCGUGCACUCCAGGUUCAAUGAAAGGGGCAAGAUAUUCUCAAGACGAGAAGUCAUGACUCUUCAGACGGCUCCUGGAGGCCUUUUCUUCACGGGAGACGCUACAGGGAUACUGACCGUUUGGAACCGGUCGGAUUUUCUGAAGAGCCAACAAGAGCCGCUUCCUCAUUCGAUGGAAUCAUGCUCAGUAAAAGAGAGAAUCGAUCAGGCUAUUGACAUUGGAGUUCAAAUUUUGUAAGGAAGGCGAUGUCAUCUAUGCCCUGAUGCAACUGGGAUGUGAUUUAAAGCAAGAAACGGAAUGGCUGUUACUCCUACUGUCUUCACCGCACUCUCUCGCUUCUUUAUAGAUAUUAAUACGGUUUGUAUAUGAUUUGUCAUUAAUAAUUGAUAUGCCUUUUUUUAUUCAACAUGGGCAAAUCCAUCUUCUUAGUAGAAUAGAGUUAAGUGGCUAAAGGAGGGAGACCGCAACACUAGAUUUUUUCAUCAGUAUGUUAACAAAAGACAGAUAAGGAAUUUAAUUCUUUCGGUUAUGGACGCGUCGGGUAUCCAAAUCAUUGAAUCAUCAGCAUUUUGUUAGGCACUACCAGGAUCUUUUGUCGCUGCGGAUCAUACAAGAAAGACCCUCGGUUGGGGAUGAAAGUGCUAGUACGAGCACCUAGAGGGGGGUGAAUAGGUGCGAAAACAAAUUUUGCAAAAUAUAGUAUAAAACUUUUACUUUUAACCUAAGUCUGGUUAACAAUAGACUUUGCAGAGGAAAUCAGACUCUAACAAUUAAAUAGAGUUACGAACAAAGUAAAAGAGUUCGGGGAAGAGAAUAAGAACACAAAAUUUAUAGUGGUUCGGCUUAAUCCAAGCCUACGUCCACUCUCCCGCACUGACAGCCCACCGGCUGGAUUUCACUAUGAAUCAAAAGAAUCGUUACAGUAUCACGUCUUUGAUUCCACAGUGUAGAAACUCUGUUACACUUCCUCAAGGCCUCACAAAUGUCUAAACUCUCUUUUGAGUACAAAUUUUUGCUCAACAAUUGAAUCAGCAAAGAAUAAGGAACUUUAGACUUUGGAAUUUAUCUAUCGCGCACACACUCGAAUAACUAGAGCGUCUUCCUUAUAUACUCCUCCAUGCCUUCAUAACCGUUAGCACCUUCCAAAGGAGUUCUUCCAAUCUACCCGUUGGACAGAAUCAAUUAGGGAGAUCUCGAGUUACUUAAGGGAUGUGAUGAUAGCCCACCAAUUCUGCCCGCCCAUACAAUCAGGAUCUAGGAUUCCAUAAGUAAAACCUUCCAAGUAUACUCCGCCAAUCAACAAAUCCAAAUUACUCGAAUUAAUUUCAAAAUGAAUAAUAGAUCUUGAGAUGCUUUUUCCAGUCGUGAGAACUUCUUUAGCCGCUCGAAUCAAAUUCUUAAAGAAAUACUCGAUUCUAGAUAAAUCUUCUUCGUCGGUCUAGAAACUGUCAAUGAGGGUAGACUUUAAAUCUUGAGUCUGGCGGUCUUCAAACUUUGACGAAAGAGUCUGCAAGUCUUCAGACUAGACUGAUGGAAACGUUUUGUCAGCUUCAAAACAAAUAAGGAAGUUUUCUCCAACAAUCUCCCCAUUUUUUAUGAUGACAAAACUUUCAUGCAGAUUUGGAUACUUUUGACCAGCAAGACAAUACUCAAGCAAAUAAGGAUAUCUCAUAAAAGAUAAAUAGAUUAGGAUAAAGAUAGUAUCGAAUAUGUAUCUACAGGAAAUGAGUUAGUCCUGUAAAAACAACUAUCUUUGCCAUGAAUAUCAACAACGCUUAAGAUACUGCAAGCAUUAAACGAUCAAACAGUCUAAAAAAAAAAAAAAAAAAACAGUCCAAACCAGUCACAACCAAACAAGAAUUAAAGUCAAAUCAAAUCAAAUCUGCACCAACUUCUCCCCCUUUUUGUCAGCAUUAAAAAGGUAGAGACGAAAAAGAGAUUUGGAUAAAAUUAAGAUUGUUUUGGAACGCGAACAAAUUGGAAAUCUCCCAUCGACUUGACAGUCUCCUCCAGCUUUCUCAGAUCCUCCUUCAGUUGCGCUAUUUCCUCACCAUUGGCAGUUGCUUGAACUUGAAGACUAAGGGCCUGAACUUGAUUGAGCAAAGAAACUGAAGAUGCUUGAUUAGCAUUCUGCAUAUUCUGAAAUUCGCAUCCCAAGGCAUAAAUCUGACCUCGCAUCUCCAUAAGAACAUCAAGCAAUCUUCUAAAGUCUGUAGAGUUGCCAGUUUGAGUGCUUGCUUCAGCAUGAUCAGUUUGUGGAGUAUUGGCAGAUGAUGGCAUUUCAGCAUGAGCACCCAAACUCGGAGAUGAAACCUCAUGACCUUCUUUAGGAAAUUGAGAGGCAUAUACAUCUUCUGGAUCGGUAGGAGAACGACUAACAUCAUCACUAGUAAAAGCAAGUGAAGGAGUAACUCUUUUCUUAGCAGCUCCCCAUGUUUCAAUGUCUUCAGGUGGAGAGAAGUACUCUUCAUGCUCUGUCUCUUCUUCAGUGACAUGAUGACCUUGUUCUCCUCUUUCCUCUUCUUCUGCAGUUCUUUCUUUCUCUGCUUCUUUCCUUAUCGUUUCCCUAUCUUCACUCCUUUGCUCUGUUUCUUCUCUGUCUUGGUCCUCUCUAUCCUCUGUCUCUAGAACAAAACGCUGUAAGUUCCUUAAAGCAAGAGCGAAAAUGAUGAUAUCUUCCUCAUCUUCUUCAUCCUGCAAGAUGAGUGCUCUCAUUUUCUUGGAUGGAGCUGUUAUGGGCUCCUUGCCAUUCCGUUUUGCAGCCACAGAGUCUUGACGAGUCUUGACAGGAGUCUUCUCCUUAAAUCUCUCUAAAGCCUUGUUUAGCUCCUUCAGACACAUUUUUGAAACCAUCUUCAGUCCCACCACCAUUUGAUCACAAGUUUGAACACACAGAAUUUUGGGAGGCUGAAUUUUAAAAUGUCUGAAUAGCUGAGUAACAAGUGCUGAAUAAGGAAGUUGGCCGUUGUCCUUCACCAUUGAUCUAUACAUGUGAAACAUGAUAGUGUGUGGCAGAGAGAACUUUUUACCAGCUUUGAUAGCAUACAUCAGCUUUGCUUUUGAAUUGGAGACAUCAGUCUUUGAUGUGGAUUUGGGUCUAAGACAGUUAAUCACAAUCUUGUGAAGCAAGACAUUUGAGGCACUCAUCCUCAAGUACGAAAUUCGGCCUUCUACCAUUCCAUCCCGAACAAGCUCCAUAGUCGCACGAUCAAUAGACACACUAAUUGAUUGGAACAUCCCUCUCUCUACUCCAAUCACAUCAGCCAAAGUGUCCAUAUCAACUACAUAAUCCUGGUCUCUAACACUGAAAGAAAAUCUAUUCGCAUCCAAAAAGCUUAGAUUGGAAUAGAAAUACGCAAUAAGUUCUGGAUGAACCACUGUUGUCUUAGAGUAAAAUCGUUCAAGUUGAAGUAAAGUAAAUUUCUCUCGCAACUUCACGUUCAGAGAGUCGAGAAAAUCAAAAUCCACACUCAUUGGGUUCAUCACCCCUCGCUUCAGCAACUUAGAGUAAACUCGCUUAUGUUCCUCAGAAUGAAACAGAUCUGCUCUUUUUCCUCGAAUGUUCGCAGCAACACCCAUUCUAGGCUUAAAAUGAGUGAACAUCUUUUCAUCAUCAUUUCCAUCAGGUUGACUAAAUCCUCCAACAUGUGGAUCACUUGGGAAAUUCGCAAAAGCCCUUUCAGCCGAGCCCGCAGGAGCAAUUCCCAAACGUUCCAUCGUUUUUAAAAAAUGGGUUUCAUUUUUAUACCCCUUUUCUUCCAAAAAUUCAUCAAUAAAGGUCAUUGGAGAACCUCCAUCCUUUAAAGCAGAGUAGAGUUUGAAGGUAAAAUCAUGCUUAAGAGUCCUUACAGAUUCGGCAUCCUCAAUAAUUUCUUCCUCCGCUUGUUGUUGCUGAACAUUCUGUGGUCUAGUCUGAGGAGAAUGACGUGGUUGAGAAUGUUGUGGACUCUGCUGUUGUCUUGGAGAUUCUUCUUCCUCGGUCAUGUCAAAGUGCGUAGGACCCUCACGCAUAUGCUGUGGUCUCCUGCUUACAAUCCUUGAGGACUUUAUUUGGAAAGACAUUAUCACAGUCUUUGAGAGAGUUUCUGAACUCAAUUCGCGAGAAAGAUGAAAACUUUAAGGAUUAAACUAGAGAGAAAAAGUAAGAAAGUGAAGUUCUUUGCUUCUAGGGUUCGUGAGUAAGAAUGAAGAAGAAAGAGAGUAUAUAAGGCAAUUCGAAACGAGGUAUACGGAUCGUCGUAAAAGGAAAAAUAGAAAAUACAUUUUCAAAAAAAUAAUUGCCUUUUUGAAAAUAGAUAACUGUCAUUUCAAAAAGAUAACUUCUUUUUCGAAAAGGAAUGAUUGCUAUAUUUACAAAAACUUGGGAAGAUAACAUCAAUCAAUUGCAGAUUAAUAGACAAUCGUACCUUUUUGAGUUUUUUAUCCGAAAGAUAAAUUUCUAAAACCGAAAUAACUUACAGUCGUGAUUCUUGAUCUUCUGAGUCUGAGCAUCUUUAGACUUUUAUCCCUGAGUCUGAGCUUCUUCAGACUUUAAGAUAUUAAGUCUGGAUUGAAUAAACUCAAAUUGACUUUUCUCCAGUGGCUUUGUAAAAAUGUCCGCCAGCUGGUUCUUUGAGUCAAUGAAUUAAAUCAAGACUUCUCCAUUCUGAACAUGGUCUUUAAUAAAGUGAUGUUGAAUCUCUAUAUGCUUUGCUCUUGAAUGAAGAAUUGGAUUCUUGGUGAGAUUAAUCGCGCUGGUGUUGUCACAUUUGAUCUCAGUGCAUGAGUCUUCGAUUCCAAAGUCUCUUAGCUGUUGUUUUAUCCAUAAGAUUUGAGAACAACUUCCAAGAGCCACAUACUCUGCUUCUGCUGUUGAAAGAGCUACAGUACUUUACUUCCUUGAAAACCAAGAUACUGUCCUGUUACCAAGCAAUUAACAAGUGCCCGAGGUGCUCUUUCUAUCAACUCUGCAUCCUACUAGAUCUGCGUCUGAGUAUCCAAGGAGAGUAAAGUCUCAUUCUUUAGGAUACCAUAGACCUAACUUAGAGGUUGUUGCCACGUAUUUGAUGAUGCGUUUCACAACACUUAGAUGAGAUUUUUUGGGAUCUGAUUGAAAUCUGGCACAAAUGCAAACACUAAACAAAAUGUCAGGUCUAGAAGCAGUAAGAUGAAGAAGUGAACCAAUGAUACUCCUGUAUAGCUUCUAAUCAACUUUCUUUCCUCCUUCAUCUUUGUCCAGCUUCGAAGAAUUUGACAUUAGUAUAUCAGUCUUUUUGCAAUUCUCCAAACCGAAUUUUUUAACAAGUUCUUUAGCAUAUUUUUCUUGGUGAAUGAAAAUUCCUUUCUUCAAUUGUUUCACUUGUAGUCCGAGAAAGAAGGAUAAUUCACCCAUCAUGCUUAUCUCGAAUUCAUCCUGCAUAGACUUAGAGAAUUUCUUGCACGGAUUUUUGUUAGGUGAUUCAAAAAUAAUAUCAUCAACAUAGAUUUGAACAAGUAGAAAGUUUUUACUUUCUCUUUUAAUAAACAGAGUAGUGUCUACUUUACCUUUAACAAAGCCAUUUUGGAUUAAAAACUUACUUAACCUGUCGUACCAAGCUCGAGGUGCUUGCUUUAAAUCAUAUAGCGCCUUUUUCAGUCUGAACACAGAGUCUGGUUUCCUUGGGUCUUCAAAACCGGGAGGUUGUUCCACAUAGACUUCCUCUUGGAUAAAUCCAUUCAGGAAUGCACUUUUGACGUUCAUUUGGAAUAACCUGAAAUUCUUAUAACAAGCAAAAGCAAGUAAUAAUUUAAUUGCUUCUAACCUUGCUACUGGUGCGUAAGUCUCAUCAUAGUCUAUCCAUUCUUCUUGCGUAUAUCCUUUGGCUACGAGUAUUGCUUUAUUCCUUAUAACUUUUCCUUUCUCGUCCAUCUUGUUCCUGAAAACCCAUUUAGCUCCAAUAACAGAUUUACCUUUUGGUUUAGGAGUUAAAUCCUAGACAUUGUUAAUACUGAACUGCCUGAGUUCUUCUUGCAUAGCUUCAAUCCAGCUUUCAUCAGUUAAAGCUUCUUCUAUGCUUUUGGGUUCUAUUUUAGGAAUAAGAGCCACAACGCUAGAUUCUUCAUGCAUUUUGGAUCUUGUACGAAUCCCUUCAUUAAUGUCACCAAUAAUAAGUUCUUUGGGAUGACUGGACUUAUGCUUCCAGUUGUUGGUUGGUCUGACAGACUGCUGAUCUUUUUCUUCAUUUGAUUCUUCAACGUUCGUUCGUUGUUGACCUUCUGAAGUCUGAGCUGCUUCUAGGGAUUUAGACUUUGUAGAGUCUGGAGCAGGUUCAGAUUCUUCAGGUUGUGUCUGGAUUAUUGAUUUUGUAUAAUGUCUUGAAAUUUGACAUUCAUCGAUUCUUCCACAGAUUGAGUCUUUUUAUUGUAUACUCUGUAAGCUUUGUUGGUGGUUGAAUAUCCAAAGAAGAUUCAUUUGUCUGAUUUUUUUUUUCAAACUUACCAAUUCGAUCAUUUGCAUUUUUCAAUAUAAAACAUUUGCAACCAAACACAUGAAAAUAGGAAACAAUUGGCUUCUUUCAUUUGAACAACUCAUAGGGAGUUUUCUCCAGAAUAGGCCUUAAGAAGACUUCAUUAAUAAUAUAACAUGCUGUAGAAACUGCUUCAACCCAAAAACAAGAAGAAAUGUUGCUUUCAAUUAAAAGUGUUUUAGCCAUUUCUUGCAACGAUCUAUUUUUCCUUUCCACAACUCCAUUCUAUUCUGGAAUGUAUGGAGAGGAUAACACAUGCUGAAAACCAGAUUUAUCACAAAAUUUAGCAAAAUCUUGAUUUUCAAACUCACCUCCAUGGUCUGUCUGUAUACUUGAAAUAACAUACCCUUUCUCAUUCUGUACUUUCUUAGCAAACUUUAUAAAAUAAGAAAAAGUUUCAGACUUACUUGCCAGGAAGUAUACCCAAGUAAAUCGUGAAUAAUCAUCCACUAUUACUAGGCAAUAUUUCUUUCUACCAAUGCUCUGAGUCCUAGUUGGUCCAAAGAGAUCCAUAUGUAGGAGCUGCAGCACACGAUUAGUGGAAACUUGAUUUAUUGGUUUGAAAGAAUUUCUAACCUAUUUUCCCAACACACAUGGUGUGCAUAAUUCAGAUUUUUGGUAUGUCAGGUUGGGUAGUCCACGAACAAGCUUCUUUGCAGAGAUCUUGGCUAUUUGCUUCAUGUUGAUAUGACCAAGUUUUCGAUGCUAGAGAUUAGCUUCCUCUUGAAUUGAAAGUAGACAUUGAGAUUUUUUUGGUUUGAUGUCCAAAAGAUAGAUGUUCCCAUGUCUUCGCCCCGUGAAGGUCUGAGAGAAGUCUUUACUAGUUCCCGAACAUUUUCCUUCUUGAAAAUUGAUUUUGAAACUUGUGUCGCACAUUUGACUGAUACUCAGCAAGUUGUAAUUGAGUCAUUCUAUUAAUGAGACAUUGUUGAUUGUAAGACUUCCAAUCUUUACUCUUCCGCAUCCGACAAUUCUUCUUUUGCUAUUUCCACCAAAAGAAACUUUUCCACCAUUAACUUGCAUAAGCUUUAUGAAACAACUUGAAUCCCCUGUCAUAUGUCUUGAGCAUCCACUAUCCAAGUACCAUUUGACCCUUUUCUUGAUAGUGACCUGCAUUUAAAAAAGAAACUCAAGCUUUCUUUGGUAUUCACACUUUCUUGGGUCCAAUGGAAUUAGUGCAAUAAACGGUCUUUGCCCAAUCCUUCUUAACAGGUUUCCAAAUCAUGGGACAUUCUUUCUCAAAGUGUUCUGAGGUGUUGCACUUAGAACAUUUAAGAACACUACGGCCAACAGGUUUUACAAAGACUUUUUGAAAAUGAUUUCUAUAGAAGGCUUUUGUAGGUAUUUGUUUGAUUCAUUCCUUUACUUUUGGAAAAUCAAUUAGAUGAAUGGUUUCAGAAGUCAUUCCCAAGCCUGAUUUGUUAAAGUAAGGUCUUUGUACUGAAAGAAUCUUUUCCAAUUUCUCAGAUCCUAUAGAAAACCUUUUUGAAAUACUUGAAAUAUCAUUUUUCAAAAGUGUUUUUUCUUUUGAAAGAAACUAUGCAUUUUCUUUCAAAGUAAUAAAACUUUUAUCUAAAUUUUCGAACUUUUCUUUCCAAACAAUCUCCUGUUGCUUCAGUGUAGAAUUUUCCAUUUUUAGCUCAGAAAUCCUCUUGAGAGAGGUUUUGAGACUAAGACACAGUUCAUCAAUAUAUUUAGAGAUUUUAGUAGGAAUUUUUAAAUUACUUACCUCGAUUUCACUGUCUGAGUCUGAGUCUAUAUUUUUCUCAAAGUCUGAAUCCGAUUCUGAUUUUGCCAUUAAACAAAUAUUAGCAUAAUCAUCAUCACUCUCUUCGCAUUUGGUAUCACUCAAAGUUUCUGCUUUGAGUGCCUUCCUGUAUUUCUCAGCUUUUCCUUUUUUUUUCUUCAGCAAGGGACAGUUGAGUCUGAUGUGUUCCUUUUUCUUACAUUCAAAACAAAUCACAUCUUUAUUGGAUUCAUCGUCCUCAGCUGAUUUAUUUUGAAACUUUUGAGAACUUUGUUUCUUCCAAUUGAAUCUUUUUCCAUUUUUGUUCAGUUUUCUGAACCUUCUUAUCAUGAGAGCAAGCUCUUCAUCGUCCAUAUCGUCUUCAGAAUCUGUAACAUCAAUAGAUUUUUUACCUUUGGGAUCUUCAUCUUCAUUGAUUUGCUCCACUUCAUAAGACUGAAGAGUGUCAACCAAUUCGUCAACGGAGAGUGGCAUGAUCCUUUGUGUUUCUCUUAUUGAGGCCUUUAUGUGAUUCCAAUCUUUGGAAAGUCCACGCAGCAGUUUGUUAACCUUCAUGGGUCUUGAGAUUGGUUAACCUUGAUACUCAAGACCAUUCACGAUUUCUGUAAAACGACUAAAUAUGUCAGUGAUAGAUUCUCUUGGCUUCAUCUUGAAGGCUUCAUAUUGACCAAGCAGAAUAUUGAUUCUGGUUUAUUUCACUCGAUCGGUUCCUUCAUAUGUGAUGUACAGCUUAUCCCAGACUUCUUUAGUUGUUUCACAAGAAGUUAUUCUGUUAUAUUCAGUAGGAGAUAAUGCAUAAUAUAAGGAGUAAAUUGCUUUUGCAUCAAGAGCUUGUCUCUUGGUUAUCUCUUCUUGAGUCAUCUCGCUAGCCUCUACAACUUCUUUUCCCCUUUCUGAGACUGUUGUAGCUUUAGGAAUGAUUCCUUUGUCUACCACAUCCCAUUCCAGAGGAUCUUUUGAUCUUAGGAAUGCCUUCAUCUUGUUUUUCCACAUACUGUAUUCAUUUCCAUCAAAAUAAGGCGGUCUGGUGUUGCUUUACCCUUCAACCAAACCUGGCGACAACAUACUAGCCAUGAAUCUUUAACUCUGAAGUAAAAACACUUCAAUUUAAAUGAGUACACAGGCUCUGAUACCAAUUGAAAGUGCUAGUACGAGCACCUAGAGGGGGUGAAUAGGUGCGAAAACAAAUUUUGCAAAAUAUAGUAUAAAACUUUUAACCUAAGUCUGGUUAACAAUAGACUUUGCAGAGGAAAUCAGACUCUAACAAUUAAAUAGAGUUACGAACAAAGUAAAAGAGUUCGGGAAAGAGAAUAAGAACACAAGAUUUAUAGUGGUUCGGCUUAAUCCAAGCCUACGUCCACUCUCCCGCACUGACAGCCCACCGACUGGAUUUUACUAUGAAUCAAAAGAGUCGUUACAGUAUCACGUUAUUGAUUCCACAGUGUAGAGACUCUGCUACACCUUUUCAAAGCCUCACAAAUGUCUAAACUCUCUUUUGAGUACAAAUUUUCGCUCAACAAUUGAAUCAGCAAAGAACAAGGAACUUCAGACUUUGAAAUUUAUCUAUCGCGCACACACUCGAAUAACUAGAGCGUCUUUCUUAUAUACUCCUCCAUGCCUUCAUAACCAUUGGCACCUUCCAAAGGAGUUCUUCCAAUCUACCUGUUGGACAGAAUCAAUUAGGGAGAUCUCAAGUUACUUAAUAAAUGUGAUGAUAGCCCACCAAUCAUGCUCGCCCAUACAAUCGGGAUCUAGGUUUCCAUAAGUAGAACCUUCCAAGUAUACUUCACCAAUAACGAAUCCAAAUUACUCGAAUUAAUUUCAAAACGAAUAAUAGAUCUUGAGAUGCUAUCUCCAGCCGUGAGAACUUCUUUAGCCGCUCAAAUCAAAUCCUUAAAGAAAUACUCGAUUCUGGAUAAAUCUUCUUCGUCGGUCUAGAAACUGUCAAUGAGAGCAGACUUUAAAUCUUGAGCCUGGUGGUCUUCAGACUUUGACGAAAGAGUCUGCAAGUCUUCAGACUAGACUGAUGGAAACGUUUUGUCAGCUUCAAAACAAAUAAGGAAGUUUUCUCCAACAGGGGACAUUAGGGAGAUUAUCCAAUUUCCCCUCAACGCUAACCAGGUUAGCUUCCUUGAUCGGCUUGUUUCUGACUCAGAGAUCCGUGAUACUCUCCUCUCUGGCUAGAGGUAAAGCUCCUAGACCUAAUGGUUUCACAGCUGAAUUCUUUAAGCAUAACUGGGGGACGGUUGGUGAGUUGGUUAUUUCGGCAGUUAAGGAUUUCUUCAUCUCGGGCAGGCUCUUAAAGGAGAUCAACAAUAUCAUCUUGGUCCUUGUACCAAAAAGCCCGAAUGCGACUUCUGUGGAUGAUUACAGGCCAAUCGCUUGUUGUAAUACCAUCUACAAGUGCAUUACUAAGGUUAUGGCCAAUCGGGUGGCUGUUGUUCUACAGGAUGUCAUUGGGCCUUUCCAAAGUGCGUUUGUUAAAGACCGGCGGAUCAGGUAUAAUAUACUUCUGGCAUAGGAACUCUUUUCUAGUUUUCACAUCCAGCCCUAUUCACCUAAAUGCGCAAUUAAGGUGGACUCCAGGAAAGCAUACGACACAGUUGACUGGGACUUCCUUGAGAUUGUCCUUCAAGCAUUCGGAUUUCCUGAUCACUUAACCCGGCUCAUCAUAACUUGUGUGAGGACCCCUAAAUUUUCCAUUGCUUUGAAUGGGGAGUUAUAUGGAUUCUUUGCCAGUGAUCGUGGGCUUCGUCAGGGGACCCCCUUUCUCCCUACCUAUUUACGUUGGUCAUGGAGGUACUAUAUGGUAUUCUCACUACUCGUUCUUCAAUGCUGGAAUUCAAAUAUUUAUGGAGAUGCAAAGCGACUAGCCUCUCUAACUUAUUCUUCGCGGAUGACGUCUUCCUGUUUUGUGAAGCCGACUUGCCUUCGGUGAAGCUCUUCAAGGAAGGCCUCCAAAUCUUUUCAAAUUGGUUUGGCUUGGUUCCAAACGCAAAUAAAAGUGAAGUCUACCUCGCAGGAGGGUCACAUUCCUUACGGAACCAAGUCCUCCUUACCCUUGGUUUCCAAGAAGGAAGCCUACUGGCUCGCUAUCUCAGAGUUCCCAUCAUCACGUCUAGGAUUAGUAAGGCGGAUUACUGCGUGUUAGUCAACCGCAUCACAGCGAGGGUACAAUCUUGGACUUAUCGCUUUCUAUCCUUCGCCGGUCGGCUACAAUUGAUCAGGUCAGUACUUCAUGCCAUCCAAGUAUACUGGGCUAGUGUAUUUAUUUUACCUACAGUUGUCUUGGAUCAAAUUGAACGAAUUCUUAGACAAUUCCUAUGGAAAGGCCCGGAGUUGGGUAGAGGGGGAGCAAAGGUUUCCUGGGAGGACGUAUGUUGCCCAAAAGAAGAGGGGGGCCUUGACAUUCGAAGGCUUCGAGAUUAUAACAAGGCCGCCAUGUCAAAACAUAUUUGGAUCUUGUUUGCCGAUAAGGAAUCUUUAUGGUGCAAAUGGAUUCACUCGACUUUCUUAAAAAGGUCGAAUUUCUGGGUGGCCAAAAAAACCCACCUACUGUUCGUGGGCUUGGAAGAAGAUCCUCCAACUUAUGACUAAGUUCCGAAGCUCCUUCUAUUGGAGAAUUGGGGAUGGUUGCUUAGUAUCACUCUGGUUUGAUAACUGGCACCCAAAGGUCCUUUGAACUUGUAUUUUUCGGACUCAGCCAUUUAUGUGUCUAGCCUCUCUAGACAGGCGACAGUGGCGGACCUAUUCAUCAACUGGGGAGCUACAAUCAAGUUGGUCUUGGACGCUUGGGAAGAACCCUUCCCACCCUUUCCCACCUCCCUGAUCGUUUUAGUUGGAAGGGAAACACCUCCCAUCUGUUCACGGUGGCCUCAGCUUGGGAAUUGACUAGGAGGAGGAAGACUCGGGUCUCCUGGCACACGUUCAUAUGGAACAACUCGAUCACUCCAAGGUACCAACUUAACCUUUGGCUUAUUGCCAAACGCAGGCUUCCUACCCAAACUUUAUUAUUAUCCCAUGGUAGGAUAGAUAGUGCCUCGUGUCCCUUCUGUAAUGAGGUGCCGGAUUCUAUAGACCACCUAUUCUUUGGAUGCCGCAUCUCCACUAGCAUCGCCUUCUUCUGGGCCUCCAGAUGCAAUCUUCUGUGGCGGAACAGUUCGUAGGUCGACAAUCUCAAUUGGGCUGCCUCCUUCCUUGCAGGCAAAGAAUUUUAUAAGUGCAUUGCUCGCUUCUCUUUUGGUGCUCUUUGUUAUUUCAUUUGGAAGCAUAGGAAUGGCAUCCUCUUUAGAGAGCACAGCUUAUCCAUUCUAGCGGUGAAGAAUCAACUAAUCAAGGUCGUCAAAGACAAGGCCACCACCUUCAGGAGUGUGGAUAAUACUUAUAGAAAUCGGAGGCUGCAGUGUAGCUGGGGUAUAGAUUCGAUCAUUUUUUCAGCUAGGGACUUCUAUUUCUGCAGGGCCCUAGCCUGGUGUUUGCUGUGCAGACACUCUUCCUCUAUGCAGCUGCUUCCUUGAUGGUUCUUCACUUUUGUCGCUAGCGAAUGCGGGGGUAGAUUGUGGUUCAUCUGGCUUCUGUGGCCUCCCACUGUUUGCUUUUCCUUUUGCCAUUGUUUUGGCUGUUUCUGUUUCCUCAGGCCCGCUCUUGCAGUCCUCUUUUGCAUUCGGCUCCAUUCCACUCACUCUGACUUGUUGUCUUGUUGAGUGCAAGUUUUGUGGCGCCGGAUCUUUUGUAAUUAUUGGUUAAAGCUCUAUAUAUUCUUACCAUUCACCAAAAAAAAAAAAAAAAAUCCAUCUUCUUAGUAGUUGACCAUAUAACUUGUCGAAAGGAAACCUACCUUCUUUCAAAUUCACAUCGCAUAGGCGGACUACUGUAUGGAUAAAAAUCGUUCAAUGAGAAACUAAUAAAUCGACUUUCAUAAGCUUUAUGGCACUCCAUGUACUUUAGAAUGAGGAGUCAAAACCGAUACAUUACAUACUACAGUUCAAAUGAACAGAUCUUGAGAACUAGAAAUUGAUACAUGGAUUUCACUUAAGCUUAUGAAACCAAUAAGACUGCUCCAUCUUCAGUGACCGGAAGAAUAUUGUUUGAAAUUGAUAGCAAUAAGUUAGGACGACUCCCUUCGACCCCAUAUUGCGAGGUGUUUGGGACUUGAUCAGGAUUUCAAGCACCCAAUCAAAUUUUAAGUAGAUCUGAAGUUCUCCCGAUCCUGUGCGCCGAGCAAUUAUGCGAGCAGAUAAGCUCUGCAAAGAGACUUGAAAGGAAGUGUGUUCUUUUGGGUCAAAUCCGGAGAGCCAUGAGGUGGAUCUCGAGGUAAUAGGGGCUGAUCGGGCUCGAGCUGUGCAGCUAAUCAUUAAUUUGUUGUUCAAUCGAAUCCCAUGAACUCUAUGCAUAUAGAUAUUCGAGGAUAUUAUCCAUUAGUUUAUCCGAUUUAAAUGACAACAAUGUAAAAAUUCUUCUUUUUUUUUGGGCUAGGAUUCGAAGUUAGGAUCUCACACCGUCAAACAGCAACACCAAAUCAAUUACACACAAUUAUUAACUCUUAAUGAUUCAUUGGAUUAGAAUUGAUUCAUCAUGCACUCGUUAGCAUGCAUGAUAUUUAGCUAAAAUAGCAAAUAAACGGUGCGAAUAAUCAAGUAUUGGAGAUUUAAGUUGAGAUAUUGAUGGACUGCUAAUGUAUUCGACACAAAUAUUGAUUUUGAUUUUAUGGAGAUCAGUUUCAUUCCAACAGUAAUGAAUUUGUCUAUAGGUAGAGGAUCUCCAUCUUAAAAAAAAAUUUCCGUUUGCAAGAAAUAGAGCGUUUGCUUAAAAAAAAAAAGAAGACUCAAAUAUAUAAUGGAGAUUGAUAGGCCAUCAUUAAUUUAUUGGCUAACAUAAACUUCAUUAUUUUAACGUACUCAGUCAUCCCCGUCAACGUCAAGUUGGCUUGUAACAGCUUAGCUCCAUUAGUCCUAAUCCCUCAAGAUCCACCUCUUGGCUCUUCGGAUCUGACCUAAGAGACUUCAUGCAGAAGAUGAAGUUCAACUCUGGGUCAUUGGCUGCAAUCUUCUUGCAGGUGUCCUGAACAAUAUCGUUUGACAGUAGAAGAUCAUGAGGAAAAGGAUUGGGAAUAGGGAAGAGAUGGAGAAUGCAUGAUUCAUUUUUCUUAUAUUGAAAGGACCAGUCAUGUUAUUUAUUGACGCAAUUUCAUAGAUGGUAGUAUGCCAAACCGAAUAUAUUAUUACACAUUGUAUAAAGAUAAAUACUGUCAAAGAGGUAGGUCAACUAGGCAAUCUAAUCUAAUCGAUUUGCCUGCUGCCAUAGUUACCAGCAAUCCAAAUCAUGUCAUAAUUGAUAGGGGAUUCUUUGAUAAGAUUGCCAAAUCGACUUGCUUGCAGCCAUAAUAUUUAGAAAUCCAAAUCAUGUCCUAAUGAAAGCCGGAUUCUUUGAUAAGAUUGGCAAAUCGACCUAUCUCUUCGAGAAUAUUCAUCCUUAUACGUUGUAUAGAAAUAAAUUAUAUAAAUACACGUAUGUAUUCUUCUGGGUUAUCAUCAAAUGCACAAUUACACUUGUUUAAAGGGGAAAAUUAUCCAAAAAGUACCAAAUCUAUCCCCGACCUCAUCCCAACAAAAUGAAAGUCUUAAGAAAUACAACACCUGAAUCAAGGUUUUUAUAGGAGUGGCGUGAAGGUUGAUGUCUAUGUCGUACCUCCUUGAUGGACAUGGGAUCGAGCAACUACACCCAUCAUGGAUCUCGACUCAACCAAACAUGAACUCCUGGUUGGAAUCAAAGAUGGAUAUUAGCAUUUGCAAAAACUUCAAAGGAGAUUAAACAAAGAUGAACUCUCAAUCCUUAUCCUUUUAAAAUUCUUAGUUCUCCUAUUAUUCUUAUAUUUGCAUCAUAGUGACUUGCAAGCAUGCUCAAAACGUACACACCGAUUCUAUAUUCAAAAGAACAAACAUGCGUAUAUCGACUUAACAAUUAUGAUAUAUGUUCUAGAUAUCUUAAAAUAUAUUAUAAAUGUAUAAUCAAGUCUUAAAUUUUUUUACAUGGUGCAAGUAAAUCCUCGAACUUGUAAUAUUUAUGUGAUCAAGCCACUUUAUUAGUUUCGUCGGAUUUGGCUAACACAUAACGCCAACAUAGUUUUCUUUUUAUGCAAUUUCCGUUCUUUGGGGCCCUCAGUUUGCACAGUUUUGGGCCCACUGGGCCUGUCGACAGUCUUUUAAACUUGGAGAGCCCGACUGGCCCAAAUCCAAGCCCAGUCCAAGGUCAACGAAUUUCGCUUUGACUCUCUCCGUCUUCCUUCCUUCCUUCCUCCUCUUCCGCGGUGCUCCAGCAGCUGGAUCGACGGAACCUUGCGUCGAACGACAUCGAAGCGCGAUUCGAAGCAGGUACUCUCUCUCUCUCUCUCUCCGUCCUUCGCUCCGGACCCUCUCGCUCGCUCUCAAUUCAAUCCAAUCCGAUCGUCUCGUUCUGCGCGGUGGGUAGCCGGUGACUUGGUACAUUUCGGGCUCGCUUUCGAGUCUUUUCGAUCACUCCGUCCUAGGUUGCCGAUUCGGGCAAGACGGAGUUCGUCGUAGGUUUGAUUUCGUUGGUUUUUUUGGCUCAACGUGAGGAGUCGGUUUGGGAAGACGAGAAGCGCGAAGCUGCGAGCUUGCGGCUCGCGGGUAUGCAGAAAAGUGUCGAGCUUGUGGAGGAAAUCUACGGGCGUUGCGAGGUUCCUCUCUUCCGUGCGCUUCACACGGGCCAUCAGUGGCAGUGGCAGUGACGGUAUUCUACUUUACCUCCAUCCGCUGAUCGAAAUGGAGGGGACGAAGAGGGGAAUUCCAGUGAUUGAUUAGGAUUAUCUUGGAGAUAUCUGGCGACUUGGUCGGCAUUGUGCAAAAUGAUGAGCUUUUCGUGGGGGCGAGCCUGAUUGGUUCCGGCGGCAUCCCUGAGUCUCUUGUAAAUCUCGGAGCUUUGAUGUGAGGGAAAGGGAUGCAAGUGCGUCGAGCUCGCUAUUCACGGUUACUCGUGUUCUACUCAGCUGUGUACAAGUUCGUAUUGAGUUCGAGCUGUUUGAACUGAUUGAGAGUUGAGCCUCUUGAGCUACUUUAGCCUUCUUGUAAUCGUGGAUAUAGCUUGCGAGUUGUGAGCUAUGAAAAGAAGAUAUUUCUUUUGUGAAAGAGAGAGAGGAUCGUUCCUAUGCUAUCGAGAUAACUUAGCCUGAAUCUGUCCUUGACUUUUGUGUUCCUCUACUGUCGGAUCACAUCUUACGUUUUGAUCUGGAGCAGUAAUAUGGCAUCAUUUCAUCAAUUUUUAUAAUCUCGUCAUUUUACAUCAAUCGCUUUAACAGAGACUUGUGAUUUGAUUUGAAUAUCCAGUUUGCAGUGGCCAAAUAGAUAGUUAAAUCUCGAAAUUAGUUGUGUUAUGCGAUGUCCUAAGAAUGAUUAUGCUGAAAAAGUGGCUGGAGCUAAUCCUGUUCUUUUGUCAGCUUUGAUGACAGAUUUGCAACAAAUAUUGUCUCUCUGAAUAGUGGAAGAGAUGCAGACGCUGGGCAAUUUCAAAUUGCCUCCAUUCUUCAAUUACCCUCCUUAUUUCACGUAAUGACUUAAACUCCUUGCAUCUCCUCUACUGAUGGGAAGGUUAAUGUUGUAUCACUUAUUCUGUUAGUUGUUAGGACGCACUUCUCGUAAUUUAAUUAGCUUCAAUAACCUGAUAUACAAGAGUCAAUAGUUUUCUGAAACUAUAUGCAAUGGUCAUUGUUGAGCGCUUCUAUAUAUCUAUACAUCAUCUACCAAAGAGCACAUUGUUUCCGCUUAGUUUAUCAGUGCUGAAGUGCAGCCUGUGUUACAACCAAAACCCUGGAAAGGGUUGCUUUUGGUCUGUGGCACUGUUUUAGGUCCCUGCUUCUAUGAAUACUCUGUUUUUCUGUUUCCAAUGGAGUCGUAGGCAAGACAGGGCUUUUCCCUUGUCGAUUCUUUGAGGAAAAAAGUUAUUGGUCUGGAAGAUAACUUAGCCCCUUAAGAAUUUUAUGGUAUGGCCGAUGGGUAUUUUUUUUAAUGAGCAUCGACAAGAAAAUUUUGUCAGUUUGUGUGGUUAAAUAGGUUCCAUUCUUUGUGGGCCAGCUGCCUGAAUCUGUUCUGAUCAGCAUUGAGACCAUUUUUUAGCUCAUGUCAUAAUCUUUAAAGUAUCUUACAUGUGCCCAUUGAAUUAUUAGUGAGAUUUUAGGAUUCAAGGCGUAUAGCUUUGGUGUGACUAGUGGUUGUUUGCCGAAACUAGUUUCUUUUGAACCAUCUUCUUUAAGUGAAAGGGCAAAUGUGUACUGCAGCAGAAUUGGUUUUCUAUUUGGUGUGCGAAUGCGUCAGCCAUACAAAACAAAAAUGUCACAAAUUGCCAUCUCUGCCAGUGCACAUUAUCUGCUUCUACUGCUUUUUUAUCUGCUACGUGUUGUCUAAAAAAGGUUGUUGAUGCAACUCGGCUGCAAAUUAUCUCAGUCGGCCAUCCGCUUUUUUCUUUUUUCAAAAAGAAAUAAAGUGUCAAUGGUGCAUAUGAAGGAUUGCUUUAGCUGUACCUUCUUCAGCUUUACUGUAGUUAGCUGCAAAUUAUCUCAUUCUGGCAUCAAUUGUUUUGGUAGUCUUCAUAGUUCCAUUGCCAAAAUUUUUCAUCUGCUUUUCAUUUAUUAGUGGGAAUUCAUAUGGCUCACAACUUGGCUGUACCUUCUUCAACUUGCAGCCAGUAAGGGACACUCGAGAGAAGCAAGUGCAACUCUGGAAGGAACUGAUCCUUGAUUUCUGUAAAACGCAAAAGAUAUUUGUGAUUGGAUUGGAAGAAGAGUUUCCACUUUUUUCAAAUCCUGUGAUUGAGAGUAAGGGCCUUUUCAUCAAUUUAUGUGUUGAGUACUUCUUUUGGUUAUAUCUGCAACCAACCUAUGGCUGUGUUACUUUGUGCUUUGCCAAGAGCAUGCUGGCUGGCAGAAGGUACUUUUUUUUUUUUUUUUUGGGUGGUCAGAGCAGAAGGUACUUGAAAAGCAGGUACCAUCAUGAAAAAAUUUCCGUGUCCUGGCAUCUAGUGUUGAGAUUCCAUUUUCUCUCUUAUGGAACAAGGAAUCUAUGUGAAUUAUUGUGUCCAUCUGCCCCAAUUCACUGGUUGAUCACGGUUUAUAUCCUUGCCUUUUGUCCACCUGCCCAUGUUUCUGAACAACACUAGGUCUGACGUCACUCCCAAACAAUUUCAUAGUUGGUCACAGAUUAGUUUGCGUGUAUGUCCUGAUGAGUCUACCAUUUCUUUCCACUGAAUCGAUUUCCUUAUGCUAUGCAACCUUUUUUAGCUAUUGCAUUGGUUUGCACCUUCCCCUGUUCCUCUCACAUUGUUGCUGGUCUGAGAUCACUAAUGCUUUGUCUACCUAACAACAUAUGUGUUUUUACUCUUAUCCCUCUGAUAGUGCAGGAUCUCUUACUCAUGAAGCAAGGGAAGCAUUCCUUGCUGCCAUAGUUUCUGAAGGUGGGAGUAGUUCAUAAAUUAUUUCAUUUCUGUUUUCUGUUUGGUUUAAUGCUAUAUACUGAUUUAGUAAUGUCAUAUUGUAUGGGAGACCGUUAAUUACCUUCCUCAUCUAGCAGGACGUGCAGAAUGGUUGGACAAAGGUCAUAGGAAGUGUCUCAUUCUCUGGCACCGCAUUCAAGACUGGGCUGAUAUUAUAUUAAACUUUGUGAGUUAGUCAGAGCUUCAGUACAAUUUGAAGCUUGUUAAGUCAGGAGAAGUGCGCUCACCACCCUUGUUUGAUUAGGUGAAAGAUAAUGGGCUGGAGGACUCUGUGAUGACGGUUGAGGAAAUACGUACUGGGCCUGAAUCUCGGGGGACAGGUAAAGUACCUUUUGCAUGUUCUAUAAGAAAAUUCCAAGACUUGCACAUUAGGUAAAAUAUGGUUGCUAUUGAAUUCGACUUGGAAGAAAAAUGAGCUGUUUUUUCACUCCAAGUCCUGCGGUCAGAUAAUGCUAAUCACAAGCUCUCCUGAAAAAUUUCCUCUCUUUCUUAGAGUAUUUCUCCUCUUAUCCUCUCGUCUUGGUAGGAAGUAUCAUUCAAGCUUAAGUGAAUCAUGGUUUGGCAACUCAUUAGGGUCGGCACAACUUUUUUCAUGCAACUUAAGUGGGGUUUCUUUUUUUCUGCUAGAUCUUCAAGGCGUGGAUCGCGUCAUCCUCAUGCGAGCUUUGAAACUACUAGAACACAAGGGGAAGCUAGUGAUUUUCAAGGGCACUUCUGCGGACGAUGAAGGCAUUAAAUUCUCGAGUUAAUGACGAUGAGUGUGUGCUCUUAUUUGAACUUUUACCAUCUGAAACGGCACAUGUACUGUUCCUGGACGCCUUUAUUCAAUCUUUCUCCAGGUUUUUGAGUAAGAAAGACAUUUUAGAAUCUUUCUCCUGCUUGUGCACUGACUUAAGAAUGUGUAAGGCAAUAUGGAGGAGUGCUAGGAAACUAUGGAAGUGGUACCUCGAUCCCCAUCUCUUCCAUGGAUCCGAAAAAUGGCAAUUUGAAUUGCAUGCCAAGGUUUCUUGUCC
This 61015-nucleotide long non-coding RNA is filed under the name Eucalyptus grandis. RNAcentral describes it as "long non-coding RNA (EGRA_LNC002695)". The record is from RNAcentral. Lineage: Eukaryota; Viridiplantae; Streptophyta; Magnoliopsida; Myrtales; Myrtaceae.